Molecule: long non-coding RNA, 72965 nt
Filed under: Citrus maxima (pomelo)
Lineage: Eukaryota; Viridiplantae; Streptophyta; Magnoliopsida; Sapindales; Rutaceae
Description: long non-coding RNA (CMAX_LNC001179)
Source: RNAcentral
GCAGGGUACGCGCUCUUUGGAUAAUCAUGGAAGUAUGGUGAUUUCUAUUUAUUGUUGUGGGGAAAGGACACCGAAUUCUUUGCCUGGUUUUAGAAAUGAUCACAUAGACUUGUAUUAGGAUAAUUAUACCCUUUGACUGUAGUGAUUUCAUCUUGGCAUAUUUAUCAAAAUGGGUAUUUUCCCUUUCAACUACUCAUCACACGAGCUUUAACCUUCCACCAGUGAUCUGUUGAGGCUGAAUGAUGAGCGGAGGAUAGCGUGUUUGCCUUAUUCGUGCUUCAAGGUGAAGCAGAUUAUUGGUGGCAGGAUUAAGCUCGUCUGAUUUUGCAACCAAUUACAUGGAAAAUGUUUGUGAAUGGCUUGAAGCAUUGAGAUAUCAUUCUAUUAUCUCCGUGUGUUUUCAUAAGCAAAAUUGGGAUGUUAAUAGUGGUGUCGUAGCAGGAAGUUGAACAUGCAAGAUUCCAGCAAAUCCCUUUGAGAUCCCAUCCAGUUGUUGCAGCCCAGAUCCCACCAUCAAAUCAGGUCAAAUUACAAGAUAUACCUAACUUAUGGAUUAACUUUCAUGUCUUUUAGUUUGAGAUCUAGUGAGUACAAUGCUCGUAAUGGCCAAUACCAUAUGGUUCAAGAGGAUAUGAGAGCAUAAAGGUUCAAAUUUAUGAGUUUAACCGGUUGAAAAUGGUGUAAUAUGCCUCUGUGGUUUGUACAUAAUGGAUUAGAUAAUCCUCUUUUUUGGCCCUCCAAAGAAUUAUUCGUAGGAGACUGAAAAUUGAAUCUCUGAUGCAGUUUAUCCUUGAACUGGUAAGACAAUGUAGCUGAAGUAAUUUUUCAUAUUUCAUAUAGUAUUUGCUAUCACUUAAGUGGAAGACUAACUUUUGUAUCUCUACUUUUUUCUGGCGACUUCAAACAGUCUCAACCUUUUGGAAUGUGACAAACUUUGAACUACUAUAGUAAUAAGAAGAUUACUAACCCUGUGUGCCCUGUACACACUGCUAUGAUUGAAGAAAGGCUAACCCUGUGUGCCCUAUACACACUGCUGUGAUUGAAGAAAGGCUAAUAUUACUUUUGCUGACUGACUGAGUGUGAAGGUGUGGGAGUGAAAGCUACAACAUACACAAACAAUAUGGAUGGACCUUGCCAAUGCUGAGUUGAUCUCUGCAAAUGAAGAUUCACCUAAAUAGAUUGGGAAUGCCAUUGUGGAGCAAAUUAGUAGGAACCAGGAUGGAAAUUCCACAGUGGUUAUGCAUCUUGAAGGAUACAAGAUGACUGUGUUGAAGCUGACCCAGCUACUUGAAAUAACCGAGUUAGUGGGGUUUGACUACCCAAUCACAAAGAAAAAGGUAUGUUGAUUUUCAGAAUUUUUCUUCCACUUAUCUCUUUGCUGUCAUACAGAGUGCCAUUCUGAAUAGUGAACUUUUCAUGUAAUGUGAAUUUGAUUCUUAAAGCACCUGAAUCUAGAUAAGCUUGCUGCAUGCUGAGCAUUGGGUCUUGUGUCUCAUGUGGGCUUUUUUCUUGAGUUCUUUGUGCCCAAAGAUGCUAGUAGGCUGGUUCUUACCACUGACCAACCAUCUAUUUAUACUUAGUCACAGCAAUUGCAAACAUACCCCCUUGGUUGGUUCAGGCAGUAAAAUCUCUUGAGGUAGUACUUAAUUGCCAUUUCCAAGUGUUUAACCCUAAAUUUUUAAUAUCUUUUUGGUGGAUUCAUAUACAUUGAACUAGUCUUCUUUCUAUAUUACAUGGAUUAAAUUUUGAAAUUAGGCCAACCUGUUGUUAAAUCUGCCUUUCAAAUUAUUGACUUAAUAUUGCGAAAAAAGAGAGACUUUUUACUAUUACAGAAUUUUUCAUUGUUGCAGGAAACUGGAGUCGUAGCUGACAGUGCUCAAGGGCAAUCCUUAAAUUAAAUUUCAUUGCAAUAUUUGAAAUUUAAAUUAUUUGAGAAAAAAAAAAUAUUUGCAUAAUAUUGAACAACGCAUUUUCUUGUAUAAUAUCAAUAAAACAAUGCAUGUGAGGGAAUAAAAAGAAUAAGACGAAAUUUGACGACAGUAAUUAGCAUUAUUUCAAGCAAAGAAAUCUGGACACUAAUAUGUUUUCUCUGUUACUUUUCAAAAUUACUGCGUGUGCAUGAGAUGAUUGCUUGCUACUGUAGUACUGUGCAAGGUGAAACAUUUGAAGAAGCCCCCUUCUAAACUGGUAGUGGUGGUCGUUGUCCUCCUGCCGAGGAAGUGUCAUUAGAUUGAAACCUACUGCAAAUAUUGAUACAAAAUGGCUUCAAGGUUUCGUUAUAGAGCUGACUGCAAAAUGGCUUCAAGGUUUCGUUGUAGAGCUGACGACAAGCUUCUGUAAACAGCGCCCCAUAUUGAUGCACAACAAUGAUAAUGGACGAGCAAAGCCAUGCAGUGUACAAUAUGAUAUGACCAAUAUCAGAGCGGGGAACAAAUGUGGAGGCUAGCGAGACUGCAGAAACAGAUCCAGAGACUCGUGCUGCAAGGGCCCAAGAUUGGGAAAAAUUCUCUUGAUGAGCUAAAUAUGCAUAACAAUAAAUGGCUGUGGUUAUGAGAAAAGACCAUAUAUUUGUUGUGUGUUUCAAGCAAGCGCUCAUUUGUGCCUUGCAUAUUUGCUCCCACAAUGCCGAUGAGAGCUGGAAUGAGAUAUCCAAACACGUUAUGGUAUGCGUUUGACAUCGCAGAUAAAUAAAAUUUGUUCUUGCAGAACCAUUAAAAUACUAUAUUAAGGAAAGUAUUAGAUCCAUUCCUUUAGAAAAACAGGAAUUUAAGAGAUCAUUAUGUAUUUAGUCUCAUUUAAUAUUAGUUUAAUUUUUUCGAGUCAUAGUUAUUGUGAAAAAAAAAAAUUAUCAAAUACUUUUAUUGAUUGGUAAGAAUUUAAAAAGGAAAUUUGGGAUUUUUUUUUUGUUUUCUUGUGAACAUUGACGGUAUAUAUGUAGGGUAAAGUUUUAUUUUUAAAUACACGUUGUGGCUCAGCUCAGAGAGAGAAGGGAGACGGUCAAGAUUGCUGGGUUGACUUUCUUUUCCCGUCAGCCAUUUUGUAAUAGCUUGAUCAGAGCAAUCAUUACCUGCAAAACUUAACACAACACCAAAUUAACAACCAACAUUUCAAUUGAAACAAAUCUACUUGAAAAUAAAAGAAAAAGCAACUCCAAAUCAAAAUCGAAAUGAAACCUUAUCAGAGAGACAGCCGCAAGUAUGAAGAGACAAGCACGAUCCUGAAGGACUAUUACUCCAAAUCAAAAUCGAAUUAUAAGAGAGAAAGCCGCAAGUACGAAGAGAGAAGCGCGAUCCUAAAAGAUCUGAAGUCGUGUUGUAUAUAUGUCUUGUAUAGAUUGACAGAGCAAUCAAAGGCCGUGUCGACCAGAGCAAUCGAAGAGUAGAAGAGAUAAGAGAGGAAAAAAGAAGAAGAGGAGAACUGCAGCAGCAAAUGAGCAAAGGGCAGUAUUUAUAGACAAGACAUGUUGUACGAAAUAAAGUAGUGGACCCUUUGUAGGCCUCAUCAUUCUUAAAAAUUUCUUCCAUCAUCACUGCCAUGCAACCUAGAUAUUCUUUUUCAAAUAUAUUAAACAUUUUAUUCGUGUUAGUUUGUACUGCAUGGCUUAAAAUUCCACUCUUUACUAUGAGACAACGAACGAGUGGACCCUUUGUAGGCCUCAGUUUUGCAAUUACUGACUUAUCACAGCUUACUCCAAAUCAAUUUGGAGUAAGCUGUGAUAAGUCAAUUUGGAGUAAGCUGUGAUUUGGCUGUUGUAAGCAUGGCGUUCGUUGAAAAUUCCGCGAAUUCCCCCAUCCGCCAUCGGACCGACCGUCGGUUGAAUUAUCACAGCUUAAGAGCUAAAGUUUUUGUGUUAAAGAGCUUAAAUAACAUAUUAUAAGACUCAAGAUAUUAGGUUCGAACCACGCAUCUUCGUUUUACUUAAUGCAGAUCCAAUUUUGGUGGCAGCGAAAUUAAAACUUUUCAUUUCAUGUAUUAUCUCAAGAAAUAUGACAUUGAUACAAAUACAUCAUUCAUAGAAUUUGAAACUUGGAACAUGAAUUUGCAGUACGUACUUUUAGGUAAUCCCAAAAAAAAAAAAAUUUAAACUAUUAGGUAAGAGUUCAAUAGUUGUACUUGAAAUCAAGUCUAACAAAUAUUUAGAGCAUAGUAAAAUAAGGACCGAUUGAGAACAAAAUUAAAGAUUUAGAUUAAUUGAGAUGAUAAUUUAUGUAAACUUACUAAAAUAAAACAAAGAUGCAUAGUAAGUUUACAUAAAUUAGGUUCGAACUACGCAUCUUUGUUUUAUUUUAGUAACCUUAAACAUCUACCUCGAAAGUUGACGAAAGUUGUGAGCAAUAUUCUAAUAUUGCUAAUAUGUGUUUCAAACUAGAUACUUAGAUUCUAAUUAUCCUCCUCGUUCAAUAAUCAGUCUUUCUUGUGAAAACACAUCUUAUAAUAAUAAUAAUAAUAAUAAUAAUAAUAAUUAUUAUUAUUAUUAUUAUUAUUAUUAUUAUUAUUAUUAUUAUUAUUAUUAUUAUUAUUAUUAUUAUUAUUAUAUCUAAAAAAAGAGUAAGCAGUGCUACUGGUAGUCUGCAGUCUGCCGUGUAAUGAUAAUAUAUAAUGAAUAAAUAAAUAAAUAAAAACGGAAAUACGUAUCACAGUUGACACAUACCUUCAUUGAAAUCAAUAUAUAUAUAUAUAUAUAUAUAUAUAUAUAGGGUUUGGCUAUCUUCUUAUUAUUAUCUUUCCUUGUUAUCAUGCAAGGAAAGAAGCCGUAGAGAUUCUGAAUAAAUGAAUGUUUCAAAUAAGUGCCUAGGAAAGUAAUCCACCAACAUACACAACACAAAUGUUCCGAUAAACAUACCAUCCCAACCAUUCUUUGAGGAGUAUAUGACUGUUGUAGGAUGAGAAGUAAAACAAACAAGAUCCACGCCAUAUUUUUUGCUAUUAAUUGUCUUCAAACAUCUGAAAUUCAAUUAAGGGUCUCAGUAACAAUUGUAAUACCGAUUAUCAUGAACUCAGCUAAGACAACUGAAGUGCAUUUGGGAGUGCUCUUAUAGAAAGAGCAUAUGAAAGCAGGAGGGGAAAACGGCCUUUUCACAAAGUACUUGAAAAACAUAUGAAUUACAUUUCCCUUAAGCACUUCCCAGAAACCACUCCAAGGUUUUUUUUUUUUAAUUUUUUUCCAUCUUAAAAAGCAUUUUUGUCCAUCUUAGAGAAACAGCAACUUUCAUGAGCUCCUGAAACACGCAGAGCAUACAUUCAGAAGUGCUUUAACUGAAAGUACCCUUGAGUAAAAUCACUUUGAAACAUAUAUGAAGUACUUCUUCAAAUGGCACUAGAAGUGAUUUCCUAAUCCAAAAAGUUCCACCUAUGAAAGCGGAUAUCAAGCACAUUCUCACAAAACCACUUCAAGGGUUCCUUUGAUUUAAAAAGACACUUUAUUUUUCUGCAAUUUCAAACAACUACUGCAAAAUUUAAACCAGCUAUUUACACUUACUCAAAAGCCCUUUCUUAGUUAAAAGAACUUCCAAAGAGACAACAUAAAAUCCUAAGAAACAGAGGAUAAACUUACGUGGCAGCAGUGACAUCAUACAGACGUAUAGAUUCAUCAUCACUAGCAGUCACCAAAUAACUCGACGAUUUAUGAAAAUCCAUGGAACUAAUUCUUCCAUUCUGUUGAAACACAAAUCAAUACCAAAACGACACUCAAUUAACAAACAGAUACACUUAAAAUGCAAAUCAAGUAUAUUUCUCAACUCAAAAAAAAAAAAAAGGUAGAAGGUUCUCUCACGUAAUCUCUAAAAGACAUGCCCACUUCCAUGCUCUGAAGAAUUUCUUCAGAGAGCUCCAAUGAGACCUUGUCUUCUCUCUCUGAUUGUGACCCUAGAAACACCCAGUAAAAAUACACAACACAAAUAAAAUAAAUAAAUAAACCACAGCAAUUAUGCAAGAAAACUACAACGUUUCAAGUAUAAUCUCCACAUACCAACCAUUUUUUUCUCCUCCAGAUUAAUUCCACUGCAUCGAAAAUAAAUUUUCCACUGAAACGGGAAGGAAGAUGCGGAAGUUGUGAAUCAAUCAGCAAGAUUUCUCCAAUAAGGACCUAAGUUUUGCAAUCGUCUCAAAUAGGUGCCCGACCCCAUUUAAUGAGUAAGAUACCCUUAGGCGUCGUAAAGAUUAUUUAUUUAAACACCAAGGGUAUUUUGGUCAUUUAACAUCACUGAGGGUGCCGCUACGCUACACCUUAUUACGAGCCGUAGACCCCCGCCGGUGGGAUGGUUUGGGUUUGUCGGUUAACGCAUUAAAAUUCAUCUCAAACACAAAAUAAAUUUUGACAUCCAUUGUAUAGUACACACAUUAAUAAAAGAGAUAGGUUUAGUUUCAAAAAAGUAAGUACAUGAUAUGUAGUGUUAUGGAUAUACAAAAUCAUUUUAAAAGUUAAAAUCUUUACAGUUUUUUUAAUGCUUUUCUCUCUUAAUGUAGAUUCCAUAAAAUACCAUAUAUUGUAACAAAGAAAAAAUGUUAUGUUCUAUUUUAAACCUUUAAUAAAACAUAGUAUAUAUGUUUUGUCAUAUACAAAUGAUUAUUAUUAUGUGGAGGUAAUUUUUUUAAGAUAGAAACUAAAAAAGUAUAGUUUAUUACAAUAUGAAGUUUAUUAUUAUUUAUAACUGACUCAAAUUGGGACAAGAAAUUUUUAUGAUUAUAUGGAGGUUAUUCUUAUAUAAAGUAUCACCAUGAAGAUAUAUUAUUGUAAUUUGAAGAGGAAUCCUUCUAGACUGGUAGUGUUGGUCCUAGCUGUCCUAACUGGUAGUGUUGAAACCUAUUGCAAGUGUCAAUACAAAAUGGCUUCAAUGUUUUUUGGUAAAGCUUAAGAGAAGCUUCCAUAAACAAUGUGCCAUAAUGAUACACAACAUUGAUAAUGGCAGCUCCAAUCCAUGCAGUGUACAAAAUGAUGUGACCAAUCUUAGAGCGUGGGACAAAUGUGGAAACCAAAGAGAUUGCAGAUACAGAUCCUGAGGCAACAGCAAUAAGGCACCAGAACUGGGAAGAAUUUUCUUGAUGAACUCGAGACUUCACAUCAGCUGAAUAUGCAUAACAGUAAAUGGCUGUGGCUAUAAGAAAAGAGCAUAUAUUUGUUGAGUGUGUUUCAAGCAAGGACUUAGUUUGGCCUUGAACAUUUGCACCCACGAUGCCGACGAGAGCCCCAAUAAGAUGACCAAAAAUAUAGGGAUAUGACAUUGAGGAGAAGAGAUUUCGCCCACUGCAAAACAAUUUUAAAAAAAAAAAUCCAUCAUAAUCUAAUAUUUCUCCUGAGCAAACUUCACUCAAGCGAUUAGUUGUUAAUAAUUUAAAAAAUAAAAGUGGUUAAGUUUUAUUCGUACACUAGCACUAAAUAAUAAGUGACAAAAGAUUUUUAAAGGUUUAAAAGAGCUCAAAUUAUAAAAGGAUCUUAAUCACCAUUUUAAACACAAAUUUAGACACAAGUUUUAGCCAUUGAAUUACAAUCAUUUCAAUAACUUAGAUUGAAGCUAACAUAAAUUUCAUUUUAAAAAUAAAAUAGUGGUCACAUUACAUAUUAUUAAUUUUAUCUCUUUUCUCUCCACUUUAAAUCUCUUUCUUGCUAGAAAUUGAGAGAGAGACUAAAAACUUCAGAGAUUAAUGUACCUAGUUUAGAGCUUAAAGAAGCUAAAACACAAGAAUCAAUGGAGAUAAUGGUUCCUUUACGUUAUACACAAGGCUUCCACCUUAUACUUCAUCUAAAUAAAUUGGUGAGAUCCCAUUACGGACAUGAAAAGAGAGAAAAAGAUUUAAAACAAAUUACAUCAUUUAUCUUCUGUACAGUAGAAAAUAGGAUAAAUUAACAAAUUACAUCAUUAAACUUCUGUACAUUAGAAAAUAGGGUAAAUUUUAAUUCAUCUCUUAAGAUAAUAUGACAGUCUUUAAUUUAUCUCCUAAAAGUGUGAAAAUUUCAAUUUACCCCGUAUUCUUUGAGAAGAUGAUUGCAUGAGGACCACUAUUGAUGGAUUUAUUUUUUGCCUUCUUUAACAGCAAAUGGAUGUAAAAUAAUAUUUUCACACUCUUAGAGAUAAACUGAAAAUUGAUAAUAUAAGUAUGAGAUCAAUUGAAAUUUACCCUAAAAAUUAUAAUUAAAUCUCACCCAUCUAUCAAUCCAUAGAUUUUUACACGCUUUCAAAAUCGUCAUUCUAAAAUCAAGUCAACUCUCAUUCAGAGAAGCUACGUAGAGGUGUGACUUUUAUCAAAGCCAAAAUGAACCACUGUUUGUUGGCAUCGAUUUUUGACAAAGUAUAUAGUAACCCCCUCAAACAUUAACAAAAGCAAAAAAAUUGAAAAGGAAAAAAUUGUUUGUUAUACGUUUUGAGUCCCUUUCUCUUGGUUUUGCUUCUUGAGGAAAUUGUAGUUUUAUUUGAGUUCGUAGAAGUUAAAACUUUGAAGGACAAAAGAUCUUGGGAAAAGAUACGAGGAGAGAGAAAAAGAAAAAAAUUAAAUUAAAUAUAAAAUUGAAAGAGAAAGAAAAAUAAUUAAUAGUUACUAAUUAAUUUUGCAUCAAAAGGAAAUUCAUGUCAGUCUCAAUCUAAGCGAUUGAGGCUAUUAAAAUGAUUCUGAGCUAAUAGCUAAAAGUUUGUGUUUAAGUUUGCAUUUAAAAUUAUAUCUCUUAAACCUGCAUUUCAUCUUACAUAUAUUUUGUUUUAGUGAGAGAAUGAAAGAAAAAUUUCAGAGGGACAACUUAACCAGUUUAUUCCCGCAAAAUUGGGAGAACAAAAGUAAUUUGAAGUAGACUGCAUACUCAAAGAUAAUGUACAACUAGAGUGCAAAAAAUAAAAAUAAAAUAAAAUGACCAUACACAGGAGAAGGGUUUGGACUUGGAUGAUGAAGAAUGCACUGGCAGCUUUGCAUUCGCAUAUAUAUCUCAGGAAAAUCUUCAGUUUUCAUAUUAAAUGAAAUAGAACUCAACAGUUAACUCACUCAGCUUGAACUUGGAAGGAAAAAAGAAAAGAAAGGGAAAGAAAAAUCUCCCUCUCACUUCCAAAAAUAAAAAUUACACACUCGAUAGAAACAUCUUACUUAUCUCCGCUUAAAAAAUUAUCUCAUGGCCUCGGUAUUUAUGGGCUAAACGAGCCACUGUUUAAUCAAAAUGUGAAAAAAAACAAAUUCAAAAAGUUUUUGUUUGAUGGAAUGAGGAUGGAAAUGGACAAAAUUCAAAAGGGUUAUUUUUACUUUUACUGGCUUCCAAUAAACUAGGCCAUAUUGCACGUAAUUAUAGAAACCUCUCCUGCUGUUUGUACAACGUUUCGUAAUGGUCAAUAGAAAUGUUUUGCUCAGUUGCGUUAUGUGCUGAGUGAGGGAGACAGCGAAUCGUAGAGAGGAUUUUCAAGUUCAAAGUAAUAAAUGAGAAAGCGGCGAAGGGCCAUCGGUAGCUAGUAAUGAAAGAAUAAAGUUUUCAAAAGUUUACUUUUAUUGAUGAAAAAGUAAUGACAAUUAAGGUUUGAUCCUUUUUUAUUCUAGAAUCCUAACACACCGUUUUACUAAUUAUGUUAUUUCAAACCCUACAAAUUUUUUUUCCAAUAAUGAACAAUCUUGCUGGGAUAUAAACGAGUCUAUGCAAGGAAAGCCAAAAUACAAAAAAAAAAAAAAUAUAUAUAUAUAUAUAUAUAUAUAUAUGAGCAUGAUUUAUAUACGUUUCCUGAUUGAGUUGCUAGCGACGAUAAACUCAGUUUCGAAAGUGUAUAGGCGUAUCUCAAAGUAUUAGUGGUUGAGAAUAUGCAGAUAAACUGAAAUUACAAUGAAAUUAUUAUAAAGCAAAUAAAAAUUUACAAGGGAAUGAGUUUCUUUUAACCAAUUAAAUAACAAAUCCGAUGUUUCAAAUGGAAUAAUACACGAAAAAACCAUGUUCACAGAUAAACAAGUUAGCAGCAUUAUAGACAAACUUCGGAAGCAGAUACCUGAGAUGGCCAACAGUUGAGUGCAAAUUUAUUAGUGAGGUUAAUUUUAUUUUUAGUUGUUCUUAAAUAUAACUUCAAUAAAACAAGAGUUUUAUGAUAUUAAUGAAGUGAUGCCAAUUGUCCAACUCUUUAUUUUUAUCAUUUUAAAGGCUCCUUCUUCUACUUACCUGUUUGUUCUUCUAACUCACUAUUUAUUUCUUUAUUUUUGCAUUUAAAUUCUUUCUUAAUUAAUAUGAGCUUUCCCAAGCAUUUAAAAAUUUAAUAUCAUCAACGUUAAUGUAUAAUUAAAAUCUAACUAAAUUUAUUUUAUAAGUUAUUAAAACACCAAUCACUUAAAUGAAUUUUACAUCUUUUUUCUGCCAACAUAACAAAUGUCUUUAUUUAAUUGCUUUGGUAAUGUAAAUGGCGAUUACCUGAGCAGCCGGUCGCCCAUUCUCACAUGUGUGACACACAUAUUUCCUCUACUCGACAUUUUCAUGUUUCUACAGUGUAUAUUAUGCAAGACCCUACAAUUAUUGGUCAUUUGUUUCAACUCAGAGAAAAAUUUGCACAACAUUUUAUUUAUAUUCGUCAAAUUUAUUAUUUAAAAAUUAAUGAAACCUACCAUUCUAUUAUAUUCUAAAGCAUCACCAACAGACCGUCUCAGGUUCUCUCUCCAAGUCAAUAGCAAGCAAUGUAAUCUCGGUACCGAGGUACAUUCAAAGGUCAAAUCACGUUCAGCUGCUGGCAGGAAAAUCAAAUAAAUUAAUUAGGCAAUGAGUCCCUUUUUAAGCAAUGGUGAGGAUUACUUUUUCAGGAAACUUUCAGUGACCGGUAAAGACAAAUUUUGGUUAGGUGAUGGUAGCAAAUAAACGUUGCAAGUUAAAUCUGAACGCUGCAUUUAACCCAAACUCUGUUUCAAUUGAAUGUGGAAAGGACAUAUACAUAUGCUGCUGUGAAGAAGCUCGAAGCAGUCAGCCAUGAGAGGCCCUGCUUUCCUUGUAAUCUUUCCGUAAAGUAGCACCAUCAUCAUGCAAUGAAGGAAAAUCCUCAUGAGAAGCCUCCAUUCCCUUUCUGCAAUUGUGUCCUUGCUUAAUAUACCUUGAUAUUUACAAAGAACUUUCACCAUAUCAAGUAAAAUGAACAAACACAAAUUACAGAGCCGCGGCGUUUGAAUCAAAGGAACAAGAGGGUUACUCUUGAACAAUGAUAUGUGUUACGUCGCACAUAAAGAACGGAACCGCUAAUAUUUUCUGACAUACUAUUUUCUUACUAAAAUUUUAUCUACUUCUACCACAGUGGAGGAAAAAAGCACCAUACCAGCUGUUUCCGUGAAAAUAGGCGUGAGAAAAAAAUAUUUGCAAGCAACAGAAUUUAUGUUUAAGUGUAAUUUCACGCUUAUUUCAUCUUUCUUCAGUUAAAUCAAUCAGCAAAACUUAAAAGCCCACUUCAAGCUUUUCUUUGAUUUCGAAAGGCACCUUUUUUUUUAAUCCCAUUUCCGAAAACUACUACAAAAUCUAAAAGAAUGAUUUACACUUAAAAAGCCUUUUCUUAAGUUUUAUUUGGUAUUGGGGGUAGUGUAACUUCUAAGUUAUAGUUGCUGUAAAAAAAAAAAAAAGUGUAAUUAUAAAAUACAAAGUUAAUAGUGUACAGUAAAAAUAAAAUUUAAAGAAAUAUUUUGAUAAAAUUAAUAAAAAUAUUAUAAUUUUCUCAUCACAUGAGUGAUGAAUUAAAUCAACUUAGUUUGUAAGCUAUAGCUAAGGAUGAUAAAAAGUUUGGGCCGGCCCAGUAUAUUCUUGCAAACUUUGGCUUGGGCUUCUACACGAGGGCCGGACGAGGGCUCAAGGAAAAAAAGACUGAGCCUAACCCAGUCCUCUAUUUUUUUAAAAAUAAAAUUAUGAAUUAGGAUAACAAAUUAAAAUUCAAAAAAUAAUGAAAAAUUAAAAAAAAAAGCUUAAAUCCCUAAUUCAUAUAUCAAUAAUGAUUCAAAUAACCUAAAAUUAUAAUACUAAACUUAUUUUAAGCAUUAAUUAAUUGAGAGGGUACUUGAAUUAGAAAAUUCAAUAUUAAAACAUUAAAUCUCUCAAAUUUUAUUUGCUUCAUUUUUGUUAUUUAUUAUUUUAUUUGAAAAUAUUUAUUUUCUUUAAUUUAUUAUUGAUUGUAACAACUUAUUGAUUAUUAUCUCAUGUCAAGUUUACAAUAAUAAAAAAUAAAAAAGUUUGCAAUAAAAAAAAUUUAAAAAAUAAGUAAAAGUCCAAGCCCAGCCCAAGCCUGGCUCACCCUGCAAUGGCCUGGCCCAAGCUCCCAUUCUACCAUCCCUAGCCACAACAACUAGUAAUUUAUAAAAAAAUGUAAGUGUUGUAGGUUAGUUUUUAAGUUACAGUUGUAAAACUUCAAUACUAAAUAGAUAUUUAGGGGUUUUUAUUUUCUUUUUUUUUCCUUUGAUAAAACAGGGCUUUUGUUAAAAGCACUUCCAAAGACAAUAUAGAAUCACAAGAAACAAAGGGAUCAACUUAUGUGGCAUAGAGACAUCAUAUAGAUGUACCGAUUCAUCAUCACUAACAGUCACCAAAUAGCUCGAUUUAUGAACUUGUAAAAUCUUUUUUUUUUUCUUUAAGUGUAAUUUCAUCGUAUAGAUGUAGUUUUUUUCCCCCUUCCUUGAAUAAGCUUAUUCACAUCCCAACAAUAGAAUUUUACAUUGAAUAAUGAGUGUGUGUUUUACAAGUAUUAAGAGUAAUUAUGUCAUAUUGGUUUAUAAUAGAUUGUCUUUAACAGUAAUUCAACUUAUGAGUAUUAUGAGUAUUUUUAUAAUGAAUUAUUUUAUAUAAAUAAAUGUGUUCAUAGCAAUUUUUGAAAGUACAAAUAUCUCCACCCUCAUAUUAAUUAUUGUUAUUGAUAUUAUUAUUUGUGCAUGGUAUAUACACGGAUGGAUCCAGUAUUAGACUAGUUGGGGCACGGGCCCUCGCUGACUUUUGUAAUAUUUUUUAUGAUUAUAAAAAAAUGUAUUUAAUUUAUUAUUUAAAAUAGUGCCCCAAUUGAAAUUAGAAUUAUGAAAGUGUUCCAAUUAACUUCAAAAGAUUUUAUGUUGCCCUUAAUUGAAGUGUCUAAUUUUAGAUGAUUUGAUUCACUAUUAAAACAUUAUGAAACUUAAAUAAAGACAAAAGAUAAUUGAUAUUUUAAACAAAAUAAAAAAUAAUUAAAAACUAAAGAUGUAUACUUUGCUCUUUUUAUUUUUCUGGUCUCUUUCCAAUGCUUUGAAUCAAAACCACUUUCUUUAUUUGUUUGUUAUGGUCGUAGUGUAAUAAUCGAUCAGAGUAAUGCACGUGCAUCAGUGCAUGGAUUUCAUCCCAAUUCCCAUAAAUCAAAAGCACUUUCCUUUAAUUGUUUAGUUUUUCGAUAUUGAUUCUUAAAUUAUAAGUCUAGCUAAUUUUAAUUUUCAAUUAUUCCUAUUAAUCUUUUAUCUAGUUUCCAAAUCUCAAUUUUACUAUCUAUUCAUAUUUUCUCUUCGUGUUGCACUAUAUGAAUAUUUGGGAAAUUUACAAAAAUAACCAUAAAAGUUUUACUGUUUUCACAAUUAAUCCUUUAAAUUUUUUUCUAUCAACAUUAGCCAAACACACGCUUUUCUCCCCAAAUUACCCUUGUUUACAAAUCAAAAGCAACAGUCGUGGGUGAAUCUGGCGACAGGCGUCUAUCGCACCAAGCUUGGUGCGACAGACUGCCUGUCGCACAAAGCUACGUGCGACGGGCUGCCUGUCGCACAAAGCUACGUGCGACAGGCGUCUGUCGCACCAAGCUGCCUGUCGCACAAAGCUACGUGCGACAGGCGUCUGUCGCACCAAGCUUGGUGCGACAGGCGCCGGUCGCACCAAGCUUGGUGCGACGGGCGCCUGUCGCACGAAGCUGUAAACUGAUUAUGGAUUAUGAAGCAAAUUCCAGAAUCAGGGAUCCUGUCUACGGCUGCGCCGGCACGGUUUGCCAUCUGCAGAAACAAGUCAGUGAGCUUCAGGCUGAGUUAGCCAAGGCACAGGCCGGGCUCGCUUCCAUGCAAAGCCAGCAACAAAAUUUGAUUGCUUUGAUUUGCAUGGAAAUGGCUCAAUCUCAAGAACAAGUCCUGCAUCGUCAUCAGCAGCAGCAGCUGCAACAGCAGUUCAUUGAUACAAGCUGUUUUUUGGACGAAUACAGUCUUGGCUCUACCUGGGAACCUCUCUGGACAUGAAGAGAAGUUAAAGCAAUAGGAGUGGUUGAAACUUUUGAUUUGAAGUUAAAGCUAAAUAACCAAAUGAUUUGAAUAAAUCUCGUUGAAGAGAAUAGAAGAUAAGAAAGAGGGAAACAUUUUUGCUUUUAUCGGAUUCUGUGCAGAAAGCCCUGCACCAUUCCACCUUCUUUCUUUUUCUUAAAAAAAUAUAUAUAUAUAUUUGUUUCUAUAUCUUUCUUAGUUUCCUUCACCUCCGUUCACUCUUUUUCUGGUUUUGCCUUCAAACUCAUGUUCUGCAACUUUCUACACUAGCUCUCCUCAGUAGCUUAUUCUUACGCAGGGAUUGACUUCAAAGGAUGAAGAAUCCUAUUUAUCUAUCCAAAUUCGUUUAAAUUUCGCAGAAUUCAACUCUUGGAUAUGCAAACUUCAGUUACGCGUAAUUCAAGAUGAUAAAUUAUAACCAGCAUAUCAUCAAUAGACCAAAAGCACAUUGAAAUACUAGAUAUCUACAUAAAUUGGAAUUUUUUUUUAAAAAAAAUUAUAAUGCUUUAAUGUAUUUACAAAAAUAAAUUUCUUAUUUUAGUGGAAUCGCUUGUGAAUUAACAUAUCAUUUGCUUGAGAAAAAGACCAUUAGUGCCGCCGACGAUGGGAGUUUCUUCGGUUUGGGAGAGAUGGGUGAAAGAGAGAUUGUUGGUGGAGAGAAGAGAGAGAGGGGUAUUUUGGUCUCAAAGGUUUUUUUAUGGCUAAUGUUGAUAGAAGUUUGUUUGGGGGGUUAAGAUGGAAAAAGUCAAAACUUUUAUGGUUAUUGGUGUAAAUUUCCCUGAAUAUUUUUGCUAUUCAGUCACAUCAUACAGACGUACAAAUUCAUUAUCACUAACAGUCACCAAAUAGCUCAACCGUUUUUUAAAAUCAAUUGAACUAAUUCUCCCAUUCUGUUGAAAAAUAAAUUAAUACUAAAUGAUACUCAGUUAAUAAAUGGAUACACUUAAAAUGGAAAUCAUCAAGAAUGUUAGAACCGAAGAAUUCAAUCCAAAAUCAAACUAAAUUUUAAUAUGAAUCGAACCAAACUGAAUGACUCAGACAAUUUGGUUUCUAACAUGAAAACCAAGCCAAACCUGUGAUUGAAUGACAAAACAGAAACGUAAAGAAGGUAAAAGAUAGAGAAAUAGAAAUUUCUGACAAAAGUAAAGUUUUAAGUAUCUUUUAUAUUAACCCUAAAUAAGUGAAUUUAUCAAAAGAGGCAAAUCCAAAAUAUUUUAAAAUAGUAAAAUAUUAUCAUUGGAAAUAAAAAAAAAAUAAAAAAUGACACUUAGAUACGAUAUUUGGAAAAAUAAAAAUCAAAAUUUGGAAAGAAACUAAGAAAAUAGGAAAUUAAAUAUCUUUUGCUUGCAAACAUGGCCCAAAACAAUGGGAUUUCAAAAUAAUUCGCUAAGUUUUUAUGAUAUUGUGAUAAACCUCCUUAUUCAUCUUUUCAUAAGCUUCUAUAUAUAUAUAUAUAUAUAUAUAUCUCAUUCCCUUGAAAAAAAUUUUAAAAGACGAUGUAUUAAUUUCCUCUCAAAUUGUCAAUCAUUUGAUUUUGACUGAAUUAUUUUAGACCAUUAAUCAAUAUACAAUAAUGUAUCGAUAUAACUAUGGUAUGUUUACUAAUUAGUAAUCGGAAUGAGCCGGAAUCAGAAUGGAGUGGAAUUGGAAUGGACUUUAUUACUAUUGAUGUAUUUACUUUAUCUUGAAAUCAGAAUGAAUUAUCACAAGUUACUAAACCGACCUUAGUUGAUUAUUUCAUUAUUUAUAAUAAUAAUAAUAAUCAUCAUCAUCAUCAUAAUAUGAAUAAUAGUUAUUAUUAUUGUUAUUAUUAUUAUGGUGAUGAUGAUGACGACGAAAAUUUCAUUGUUGAUGACUUUAGGGAAUGACAUUCUUACUCCCAUCUCCCCCAUAGGAAUGGGAACUCUAGUAAUCAUUCCUAAUUUUAAGUGAGGCCCACAACUUUGAUUCUUAUUCUGCCUUUUAUUUAACUAGGUAAAUGUAUCAUUUAUUCAUAUUCCUUGAUUUUCAUUCCCAUUUCCAAUAGGUAAAUACAACACUAAUGUAUACAAUAAUGAAAUCGCAAUAGAUACGAAAUAGGAUAGAAGGGAAUAUUAUUCUUUGAAUAUAAUUUUUCUCUAUAAAUUCAAGGGAGUACUUUCUUUAACACAUAUAGUUAUUUUUCCUCUGCCCCCAAAUAUUUCACCAAUUUUACUGCAUACAUACUUGCUUCAACAACCAUCACGUGCUUUUAAUUUAUGGGAACUGGAAUAAAAUCCACCUACUGAUGCAUACACAGUUCUCUAAUCGGCUACUGCACUAUCAUCACGACAAACAAAUUAAGAAAGUGCUUUUGAUUCAAAGCACUGAAAGUAGAGUGAAUAUCUUUUGUUUUUAAUUGAUUUUUUUAUUUUAUUUUAAAUAUUUAUCGUCUUUUGUCUUUAUUUAAGAUUCAUAAUGUUUUAAUAGUUAAUGAAAUUAUCUAAAAUUAGACACUUCAACUAAGGGCAAGAUGAAAUCUUUUAAAAUUAAGUGAGGCAGUUUCAUAAUCCUAAUUUCAAUUGGGGCACUUUCUAAAAUAAUAAAUAAAAUACUUUUUUAAUUUAUUUAUAAUCAUCAAAAAAAUGAUUUCAGAAGUCAGGUAGGGCCGUGCCCCAACUAGUCCACUAUUGGAUCCAUCCGUGUAUAUACCAUGUCCAAAUAAUAAUAAUAAUAAUAAUAAUAAUAAUAAUAAUAAUAAUAAUAAUGGUAAUGGUAAUUUAUGUGAGAAUGUAGAUAUUUGUAUCUUUAAAAAUUAUUAUGAAUGCUCUUAUUUAAAUAAAAUAAUUCAUUAUAAAAAUAAUUGUAAUACUCAUAAGUUGAAUUACUAGUAAGAAUAAUCUAUUAUAAAAGGGAAAUUUACAAAAAUAACCAUAAAAGUUUUACUGUUUUCACAAUUAAUCCUUUAAAUUUUUUUCUAUCAACAUUAGCCAAACACACGCUUUUCUCCCCAAAUUACCCUUGUUUACAAAUCAAAAGCAACAGUCGUGGGUGAAUCUGGCGACAGGCGUCUAUCGCACCAAGCUUGGUGCGACAGACUGCCUGUCGCACAAAGCUACGUGCGACAGGCGCCUGUCGCACCAAGCUUGGUGCGACGGGCGCCUGUCGCACGAAGCUGUAAACUGAUUAUGGAUUAUGAAGCAAAUUCCAGAAUCAGGGAUCCUGUCUACGGCUGCGCCGGCACGGUUUGCCAUCUGCAGAAACAAGUCAGUGAGCUUCAGGCUGAGUUAGCCAAGGCACAGGCCGGGCUCGCUUCCAUGCAAAGCCAGCAACAAAAUUUGAUUGCUUUGAUUUGCAUGGAAAUGGCUCAAUCUCAAGAACAAGUCCUGCAUCGUCAUCAGCAGCAGCAGCUGCAACAGCAGUUCAUUGAUACAAGCUGUUUUUUGGACGAAUACAGUCUUGGCUCUACCUGGGAACCUCUCUGGACAUGAAGAGAAGUUAAAGCAAUAGGAGUGGUUGAAACUUUUGAUUUGAAGUUAAAGCUAAAUAACCAAAUGAUUUGAAUAAAUCUCGUUGAAGAGAAUAGAAGAUAAGAAAGAGGGAAACAUUUUUGCUUUUAUCGGAUUCUGUGCAGAAAGCCCUGCACCAUUCCACCUUCUUUCUUUUUCUUAAAAAAAAUAUAUAUAUAUUUGUUUCUAUAUCUUUCUUAGUUUCCUUCACCUUCGUUCACUCUUUUUCUGGUUUUGCCUUCAAACUCAUGUUCUGCAACUUUCUACACUAGCUCUCCUCAGUAGCUUGUUCUUACGCAGGGAUUGACUUCAAAGGAUGAAGAAUCCUAUUUAUCUAUCCAAAUUCGUUUAAAUUUCGCAGAAUUCAACUCUUGGAUAUGCAAACUUCAGUUACGCGUAAUUCAAGAUGAUAAAUUAUAACCAGCAUAUCAUCAAUAGACCAAAAGCACAUUGAAAUACUAGAUAUCUACAUAAAUUGGAAUUUAAAAAAAAAAAAAAUAUAAUGCUUUAAUGUAUUUACAAAAAUAAAUUUCUUAUUUUAGUGGAAUCGCUUGUGAAUUAACAUAUCAUUUGCUUGAGAAAAAGACCAUUAGUGCCGCCGACGAUGGGAGUUUCUUCGGUUUGGGAGAGAUGGGUGAAAGAGAGAUUGUUGGGGGAGAGAAGAGAGAGAGGGGUAUUUUGGUCUCAAAGGUUUUUUUAUGGCUAAUGUUGAUAGAAGUUUGUUUGGGGGGUUAAGAUGGAAAAAGCCAAAACUUUUAUGGUUAUUGGUGUAAAUUUCCCAUUAUAAAACAACAUUACAUAAUUACUCCGAACACUUGUAAAACGCACUCAAUGUAAACUUAUAUUAUUGGGAUGGAAUAAGCCUAUAAACAAGGAAAGCCAAAAUACUAAAAGAAUUAAUGAGCUACAUAGGUGUCUUGAUUGAAUUGACAGCGAGGAUAAACUCAAUUUCAAAAUUGAAUAUGCGUAUAAAAGUAUUAGUGGAUGAGAACAUGCAGAUAAAAACAGAAACUACAAUGAAAUUACUAUAAAAGCAAAUAAAUUAAUUAGGGAAUUAGUUUCUUUUCACCAAUUAGAUAACAAAUUCGAUAUACUUCAAAAGAAAUAAUACUUUAAAGAAUAUGAUCCUAGAUAAACAUAUUAGCAACAUUAUAGAUCACAAACUUUGGAAGUUGAUACACGGAGUUGAGUGCACAACUAUAUAAGGGGUUAAUUUUAUUUAUAUUUGUUAUCAAAUAUAAUUACAAUAAAAUAGAAGUUUUAUGAUAUUAAAGGAGAGCCUAACUCUUUAUUUUUAUCAUUUUAAAGACCUUCCUUCACCUUAUCCGUAUGUUCUUCCAAGUCAUUUUCAGCCGACCACUUUUAAGAUACUUUCACCACUGUUUACCGCCAACACAACAAAGGUCACCGAUUACUUUUAUUUAGGCAGCUGUUACCGGAGCAGCCGGUCGUCCUUUCUCACAUGUGUAACACACACAUGGUCCUCUACUUGUCAUUCCCACAAUUGGUCACUCAAGUCAAUAGCAAGAAGCAAAGAAAUCUGUCAAAAUCACUUCAGCUGCGUCAUGGCUGGAAAAACAAAUAAAUUAAUUAGGGAAUGAGUUUCUUUUAAUCAAUUAAGUAACAAAUUUGAUACUCAAAGGCAAUGUAAUGCACAAAAGAACCAUGAUCGUAGGUAAACAUGUUAACAAUAUUAUGGAACAAAAACUUCAGAAGCAGGCACCCGUCUGAGAUGGCCUCCUCACAUUUCAAACAAUUAUGCAAAUUUUAAAAGAGUGAUUUACACUUAUUCAAACGCCAUUUUCUUAGUUUUUUUUUUAGUACAUGAGACUAUUACUUAUAUUACAUGAGAUUAUAACUAAUAUUUACAAAUCAAAUUAUUAUUAAAAUUAGUUUACAUCAAUUUUUAUGAAGCACUGUCCAGAUUUUUAACCAUCACUAAUAUUGAAGGGAUGUAUACUCUACUCGCACUUGAUAAGAGAGAAGACUGUUUCCACUCAAUUAUACAUUAUAAAUAAGGAAUAAAUUACCCCCACAAUACGUUUGUGGGGUUUCGAACUACUAUCCUCACAUAAGGGCACCAGCCCUAACCUCCCAACCAAAGUCGAGUGGCUAAAAACCCAAAAAGUCAAUCAAUUAAGAAACACGUAUACUUAAAACACAAAUCAAGUACACUUUGCAAAUGAAAACAUGCCUGAACGAGACCUUUGCUUCUCUCCCCGACUAUGACACAAAACACCCCCCUCCCAAAAAAAAAUAACAAAGAAAUAAAUCACAACAAUUAUGCGAGAAAACGACAACGCUUUAAGUAUAAUUUCCACAUAUAUACCAACCAUUUUAUCCUUCUUUUUAUUUUUGUUCUUCAAUUUUUCUCCACUGCAGCCUGAGGAAGAUGAGAAUUUAUUUACAACGAUUAAGCCACAAAUAUUAUUAUACAAAAUAGUGUGCACAAAAUUCUUUUUUGGGUAAAAAAACAAGUCUAGUAUGUAUAAACUAAUGUGACAUAAAGAGAUUGACAGAAAAGGGAUAAUAAUUAUUUUUUAAAUUAUGUGGACUCACAAUAGUUUUCUACAUUUAAUCUCUUUAUGCUACAUCAUUUCGUACAUAUUUGUUUUUACAAGGUGAUUUUGACUUGUGACUAUCUUGUAUAUCAAAUAGCUUGAUUUCUCUAGUAAUCAGACUAGUUUUAUAUUAGUCUCAAAUAGGUCCCUAGCUCCGUUUAAUGAAUUACAUACCCUUAGCCUUAAACACCAAUUCUUACACCAUCAUAUGUCAUUGCCAAUGGUUCUUUGGUCAUUUAGAAUUAAAUAAGGACCUAAUUACAUGAAUGGACAACUAAAUCAAUACAUUACACCUUAUCACUUGAGCCUUAGACUCCCACUAAAAGGGGUGGACAUUUUGAUUUUAAAUUUUGGGUUAGUCAAAUCAUGAUUCGAGUUGGAAUCCGUUUGGGUUAGAGAAUUUAACCCAAACACAAAACAAACUUUAGCCCGAACCGAAUCAAACCAAAUUAUUCAAAUUGUUUGGUUUCUAAUUUAAAAACUAAACCAAACUUAAUUUUAGGAUCGAUUCGGUCAGAUCAAUCCAAACCGUUUGCCUACCUUAUUGAAUGGAAUAAACUUUUUACUAUUAUAUUAAUAAGAAAAUUAUUAAUCCUGAGUGUAGAUGUUGCUGACUGCCUUGAUAAAUCAUUUGUUCACAUCAAACUGAGGCAUGAGAUAAAUAAAGGUGUAGGAGAUCUAGAGGAAGCUGCAACAUACACAAAAGCAAUAUUAUAUGGAUACGCCAUGCCGAUACUGUGUGUGAAUGAAGAUUCACCAAUGGACUGGGGGAAUGCUAUAGCGAAACAAAUUAGUAGCUGACAAGGAUUAACAUGUCACAGAGUUAAUAGGGGGUUUUGCACAUCUUGAAAGAUCAGGCAAGACCACAAUGUUGAAGCUGGCCUAGCUACUUGAAAGAAACGAGUUACUUACUUCACUUUGGUGGAGUGCAAAUAUACCACCUACACUAUAUAUUGUUGAAAAGUCAAAAUGAGUCUCACAUGCACUGUCAAAUUGCCGAAAAUUUUGGAAGAGUUGGGAGUGUUGGAGUUGGGAUGUUACAGGUAUUUGUCGUAGCAGGAAUUGGAACAUGCAAGGGCUCCAUCAAGUUGCCCACCAUCAAAUCAGGUCAAAGCACAAAAUGUAUCAACAGAUGGAUAUGCAUUUCCUUUUGUUUGAGAUCUUGUGAGUACAAUGCUCUUAGUCCUUAAUACCAUACACAUAAACAAUGGCCUAUAUAUAAACACUGCUGUGAUUGAAGAAAGGCAGUAUUGUUAUCGCUGACUUUUACCAAUGGCCUUGAUGGACCAUUUCUUCGCAUCUAACUGAGGCAUAAGGGGUAUAAAGCCUAAGUGUAGGAGAGAAAGCCACAACAUAUGUACAAAAACACAAUAUGGAUAGACCUUAUUGAUCAUGCUGAGUUAAUUGAUCUCUCUGUGAAUGAAGAGGAUUCCCGUUAAUGCCACAGCGGAACCAAUUUUUAGGAACCAGGGUGGACAUGUCAAAUAGUGAACAGGGGUUUUAAAUCUUGAAGGGAUACAAGACCACAGUUUUGAAGCUCACCUGGCUGCCUGAAACAAGCGAGUUAGUUAACGACGUUGGUGGAGUUCGACCCUAUAAUUAAUUGACUAAUAUCACAAAGAAAAAGGUAUAUUGGUUAUCAGAAUUUUGCAUCCACUUGAGCCAUUCUGAAUAGUGAACUUUUCUUGCAAUGUGAAUAUGUUUUGUUUUGUUUUUUUCCUCCCUUUUUCUGAAGGCCUGAGAAUUUGUUCUUAAACCCGACUUAAUCUAAUAAGCUUGCUGCAUGCUAUAGUCAGCGUAGGAUCUGGUGUCUCGACCAUGUGAUCUUUUUCCUCGAGUUGCUUGUGCCUAAAGAUGCAAGUAGCUAUGCGGAUUCCAACCUCUGAAUUCUAAUCAUCCAUGUGUUUUUGUUCUUAGUCACAGCAAUCACGAACAUACACUAAUUUGGUUCAAGAGGUAAGACCACUUGAGAUAGUACGCAAAGCCGUUAAACCCAAAAUUAUUAAGACUUAAGGUGGAUUCAUAUACUUUGAACUAGUCUGCUUUCUAUAUCACAUGGAUUCAAAUUUGAAAUUGGGCCAACCUCUUUUUUUUUCAAAAAAGAAAAGAAUUAAUUUUCCCUAUUAAGGUUUUCUCAUUGUUAAUGGAACCGGAGUCUCUGACAAGAGGAAUUUUAAAAUACGUCAGAUGUAAUACAAUCAAUCAAUGCAUCUAUAAUAUGUGUGGUUGAAUUUUAUAUAGCCACCAAUUAUAUGCUGAUUCUUCAAAAUAAUUACACAUAUAUCAUAACAUCAUUUACUUAUUGUAUGACUAAUAUAAUACCUCAAAGAUAUUUUAAAAAUUUUCCAUAGACAACAGUCAAUCAAGGGUAAAUCUUAAAUUACGUCAGAAAAAGUCUUUGAAAAAUAUUGAAGAAAGCAUUUACUUGUAUAAUAAAAAAUGCAUAUGAGGGGACAAAAAGAGUGAAGGUACGAGUUUCACUAUUAUCACAACAUUUAUUACUAUUUCAAACAUAGAAAUGUGAACAAUAAUGUAUUUUGUCGAAUUUUCUCUGUUGGUUAUUAAAAUUACUAUGUGUACAUGUGAUGAUUGCUUGCUACUGUGCAAUCCGAUAAUUUGACUUGGAGAAGUAAUCAUAGAAAUGUGAUGAUUACUUGGAGGAGAUUACUCCUAGACUGGCAAUAUUGGUCGUUAGGUUUCUUUGUAGAGCUGACGACAAACUUAUGAAAAUAACGUGACAUAUUGAUACACAACAACAAUAAUGGCAGUGCCAAUCUAUGCAGUGUACAAAAUGAUAUGGCCAAUUUUAAAAUGCGGAACAAAUGCGGAGACCAAAGAGACUGCAGAAACAGUCCCUGAGACAACAGCAAUAAGACAUCAAAAUUGGGAAGAAUUUUCUCAAUGAAGUCGAGACGUCAGGUCACCUAAAAAUGGAUAACAAUAUAUGGUUGUGACUAUCAGAAAAGACCAUAUGCUCGUUGAGUGUGUUUCAAGCAAGGGCUUUGUUUGGCCUUGCACAUAUGCACCCACAAUGCCGAUGAGUGCCGGAAUCAAAUAUCAAAAAAUGUUGAGAUAUGAGAUCGAGCAGAAGAGAUUUCGCCCACUGCAAAAUCAUUAAAAUGAAUAAUCAUCUUCUGUAUAUCCCAUUUCUUUUGAAAAAAAAAAUUAAAAUUAAAAAGACGCUAUAUUAAGUUCCACUCAAAUUGUCUGUCAAUUAUUUGCUUUCAACAAAUCCAAUUCUCCUAUAAAAAUUUGAUGAAGUGCUUUUCUAGUUUCCUUAACAUAUAUGAAAUAUUUUUCAUCUGUAACCCUGUUUCAUCAAAAUUUUACUAUAUACACGCUUGUUUCAACAACGAUCACCAUCACCCUUUAGUGUUACAUAUUGUUGUUGUCGUUAAUUUUGACAAUUUUGACGAUAAAAUAUAAAUUUACCCUCAUUUGAAUUUUGAAAUGUAAAAUUAUCAUAAAACCAUAACAAUAGUUUCAAAUUCCAGUUGACCUGUGCGGAAAUUAAAAUUUCUUAAAGGUUAGAAAAAAGUAAAAAUGUUUUGUUAUGGAAUCAAAAUAUCCCCUCUACCAUCAUCCAUAAUUAUCUAUUCUUGAUAACAAUCUAAUAAACUUGAAAAAGCAAUACAUCCAAUCCCUGUCAAUCAAACAGCCAAACUUCUUCAUAAAGUUUAGCUUUUACUUCUGAAAAUUCUAAUUCUUGAGACCCUAAAUAAAUGGAUAUUCAAAGUUACAUGUUUCUAGAACGAAAAUCUUCAAUUUAGUCCUUUUAAAUUUUGAAAACAUUAAUUUACAUCUAUUUAUCAGUCAAAGGAUUAGAAUAAAUGGAGGCACAUUGAUGACAAACUUUUUAUCUUAUUAAUGGUAUUUGAUAAAUAUAAAUAAAUUGAAAAUUGUCAUUUUAAGUGGAGGUAAAUUAAAAUUUUACUCUGUAUUUAUAGUGCUUUAGUAAGAGAAAGAAAGAAAACAGAAAACAAAUCUCUUCAACGGGAGGCUGAACAAAAUUUUCAGUAGGGACUCAACCAAUUUUUUUCACGGAAAUUUAAUUAGGAGAACAAAAACAAUUUGAAGUGGACCGCAUAUAUUUACUAAAAUAUAAUAUACAAAUUUGAGUCAAUAAUGAUAAAGAAAAUGACCAUACACAGAAGGGUUUGGAUUUGGAUGAUAAAGAAUCCAGUGGCAGCUCCGUAUUUGCGCAUAUAUAUAUAUAAACCCUGGAUUGAGUUUUCUUUUUAGCGAAUAACGUAGGGAACAGAAAACCUGAUCAAUUUGAAAAAAAAAAAGUAAUAAUAAUAAUUAAAUAAAAAAAUUAAAAUGUAACCUCAGCUUGAAACUUGGGAAUGGGAGGAUAAAAGGAAAAGGACAAUAAAAAAUAAAACUCUCACUUUAAGAACAUCUCAACUAUCUCUGCUUAAAAAAAUUAUCUCAUCUCGUGUGUGUGUGUGUGUAGGUAAAACGAGCCUCAUUUUUUAAUUCAAUUUAAUCUCCAAUCGUGAAAAUUUGGUUAAGCUAAAAUGCGGUGCGACCGGGGGGAGUUUCGUCGGAAGGUAAUCGGAUAUUAAAACGAACUCAAUAAGUUAUCAUGAAGCCUAUCGGCAUCAUACUGAAUUACUGAUGCAAAGACAAGCGUUGAAAAUGACUUCUCAGUUUCCAUUUCCCUGUUCCCAUCAAGGGUCAAAGGGCUCCAUUAGCUGCGCGUAAAGGGCCCCAGUGGGAAAUUUAAUCGGUAAGGGGUCCCAGUCAAAAAUGUGAAGGCAUUAAACAAUAGGGGUAAUUUGGGUAUUCGUUUAUUUAAUUUAAUUCGAUUUAAAGUAAAUAAGUUUGAGUUUAAAAAAAAUUAAUUUAUUUAAUAAAUGGUGAAUUCGACUUCAUUUUCACUUUUAGGUUAAUCUGUAUUAAUUAUUUUUAUACUUAUUUAAUUCUUUAUUUAUUGUUAUUGAAGUUUGUCCAGUCAUUUAUUUAUAAGUUUUUCUUUUAUGGAUAUAGUUUAAUAAUUUGGUUGAUGAUUAUGUUAAUCAAUUCUUUUAGGCUCAAUAUUUGAUUCUCUAAUCAUUUAAUUUAGACUUUGAAUUAAGUGUCUAUUUCUUUUUACAGUUCUAAGAGUUGGUUUUGUAGGUUGGACUUGAUCCUUUCAAAACGGUGUUAUUUAUUCAUUAAGUGUACAUGAUUUCUUUAAGAUACUGACAGCCAAAGGGAGAAAAAAAGAAAAAAAGAUUGGAAUGCAUAUAAAGAUACAAAUUAACGAUGAAAUAUGUAGGGAUAACCAAAAAUAAACAAAUAGUUAAGCAACUUUUCUUGAAUCUAUAGAUUUUUUUUUUUUAUCUUCUCAUAUUUUUUACAAAAUUAUUUGAAGAAUUAUUAUAUUUUUUAAUAUAAGAAUUUAUUAAAGUUGAUUAAUUAUUAUGCUCUCUCAUGCAAGCAAGAAUCAUUAAUGAAUAUGUGAUGAUUUGAUUAUUAGGUGUCCAAUAAUAUCCUACAAUAGCUUUUUUUUUUUUUUUUGAUACACUUAUAUAGUACAAUUAGAAUUUUUACUGAUAUUUACAAUCAGAAAUUAGUCGGAACCAUCCUGAAUAAGCCUAUUACAGCACAACCCGAAGUCAACGCUCACUUAAAAGCUGGAGGUGAUCAAUCCUACCCCAAUGUGGGUAGAUAACUAACCCCUAUUAUAUAGGGGAGUCAAUCCUACAAUAGCUUAUUGAAUUGCAAUACUUGGAUUAAAUCUCUUAAGAAAUUGGCUUUCUCAUCUUGUUGCAGAACUCAGUUAGCAACUUAAACACUAUUUCAUGUUGUUUGUCAAACUUUAUCCCUCUUAUUUUGCCUUGUGUCUUCUUCUUAGUCUAAUAAACUGCAUAUAAUAUUAUUACGUAUGAAUACAAGAAAUAGGAAAACAUAUAUAUAUAUAUAUAUAUAAUAAAAAAAUUUAAUAUUACCAGAAAUGUCUAGAGCACUAGGUAGUGCAACAUAUUUGUCAUUUAUUUGUAUAUACAUCAACUGUUGGAGAUGUUUGAAAGAAAUAUGAUCCAAGAGCCAUGCUACAAUGUAUUAUAAUUAUAUAAACCAAAUGACUAAACCAACUAUAUAAAUUCUUUCUCGCAAACAAGAUGAAGCACUAGAAAGUCAGCCAUAAGAUGUGCUUACCAUUUGGUUUCUUUUUUUUUUCAAAGUGAGUUUCAUAGUCUUUUUAUGUUAAAAAUCAACUUUAGUAUAUUAUGUGAUGAUUUUUCAAGUUGGAUUAUUUUAUUAUACUUUGAUUAAUUUUAUUAGUAUCCGAUCAUAUUAUGCAUUGUCGCACAAAAGGUUCUCGUACACAAGUUAUUUUUAAUUUAAAGUUUUUGUUAUUAGAUUUCAAUUUGUAGGACUGAAAUUUGUAAUCACGACUACUUAUUCUUAACAAUGAGACAAAAAGUUUUCUAAUACAAUAUAUAACUUGCCAUUUGCCAAAAAGGUAAUGGUCAGAAGAUAACAAUUUUUCGACUAAAAAUUUUUUCAUCACUGGAUAUCAAUUUACGUGACUAAAAUACGUCAUCAUAGAUGCUUGCUUUAAAUGAUGGUUAAAAAUAGUCAUUAAACUUUUCAGUUAUAAUGUAAAUAGUCGUGAAAAAAAAAUAUUGUUGUUAAAAAUCAUUUAAGACAAUAUUUAAUCUACUUUGCAACAAAAGAAACAGUCACAAAAUAACAUUUUUCGAUUCAAAAUUGUUUUGCCACGAGAUAUCAAUUUAAGUGACUAACCAUUGUAGUUGUGGAUGUAGGGAUGGCAAUGGGGCGGGGUGGGGGUGGGGAUGCCUACCCCAUUCCCCACCCCAUUAAAAAAUUUUGCCUCCAUUCCCCAAUAAAUUUAGUGGGUUGGGGAUGGGGAAUCCCCACGUGGGGAAUGAUUCCCCCAUCCCCACCCCAUUCCCCAUUUACAUAUUUUAUAGUAGAUAUAAAAAUAUGAUUUCAGUAAAUUAAAAAUUAGAGACUUAAGAUAAAAUCAUCACAAUAUUAUAAAGUAUUUAAUUUUUUUAAAAAAUCUCUAAAAAUUUGAAACAAUAUCUUAAAAUGAUAUUAAAAGUGAAAAAUAUUUAAAGAAAACAGCACCUUAAAAGAGAAAAGAAAAUAUAUUAAUGUUUUAAAGUUAAAAAAUAUUGUAGAAUUUUCUUUUAUUCAUAUUCUAUUUAUAUUACAUAAAAAUUAAAAAAAAUUAUUAAUUGACAUUAUAGUUGAUAAAAUACAAAUUAUUAAAUAAGAAUUAAAAACAUAUUUAUAUAUAAUGGGAAUGGGGAUUGGGGUGGGGGUGGGGUGGGGAGUGCAAUACCAAACCCUACCCCGUUAACAAUUUGGGGAUUACUUUUCCUCCACUCCCCACCCCAUUCCCCAAAAAUUAUUAAAAAAUUUCCCCAUUUGGGGUGGGGCUCCAUGGGGCCCCAAACCCGUGGAGGAUUUUGCCAUCCCUACGUGGAUGUUUGCUUCAAAUACCGAGAAAAUAGUCACCUGGAUUUUUCUGAUACGAUGUUACUAGUCAUAAGUGACAACUUGACAAUAAUAUAACGUCGUGAUAGGUAUACUUUAGCGACAAAAACAUAAUGUUGCUAAUUAUAUUUUUGAACCUCUAAAUUGAUGAUUUUGAGUAGCAAUUACUACUAUUUUUACUUACCCUUGAGACAAACAUUUUAGUCACUAUAAAUCACUAAUAGUAACGAAAAUAUAAUGUCGCUAAUUGCACUUUUGACUUUUGAACAUCUAAAUUGACCACUUUGAAUAUCAUUCACGAUGUGUUUAAUUUAAAUUUAGGACAAAUGGUUUAGUCAUAAAAACAUAUUAUUUUAUGUGACAAAUAAUUUUGGUUGCUAUAACCUAAUGUGACACACUUAGUGUGUUACUUUUUGUUAUUCCUGGAUUUGAAAGACAAUUAAUGGUGCACUUACUAAACGAGAGUCGGAAUGGGGUAGAAUCAGAAUGAAUUGGAAUCGAAAUGAGGAAUGAGAAUCAUAAUAAAUUGUGUAUUUUAUUUGUAGGAAUCAAAUUUGGAAUGAGCUGAAUUGCAAUUGAUGUGUUUACUUUGUCUUGGAAUUUAAAUAAGAAUGAAUUAGAUUGUUGUAAAUUACUAAAAAAAAAUUAAUUAACUAUUAUCAUAAUUAUUACUUUUUAUUUUAAUUAUUGUGAUUAUUAUUAAUAAAUAUUGUUAAUGAUAAUUAUUAUUAUUAACAUUAAUAUAAUAAUAAUGGUGAUGAUGAUGAUCAUCAACAAUAUCAUUGUUGGCAUAAUCAUCAUCAACAAUAUCAUUGUUGGCAUAAUCAUCAUCGUCGGCAUUAGAUUAAAACGCGACGGCUACUGUUGCUGCUUGUGACACAACGGCUGCUCAUGACUACUAGAUGUGACGAUUGGCAACUAGUUGUUGCUCCACAAGCAAUGACCGACAGCAACAAGGGAGCUCAUCCACGGAUUGCGUGCUUUUUUUUUAACUGAGGACAAAGUUGGGAUUAUUGAUUAUGUUGGGGGGCAAAAUUGUCACUCCUGGGAAUGAGAGACUAAUUCCCACCCCCUUGGGAAUCAGUCUCUCAUUUCCUAUUCCUAAAUUUGGGUGGGCUCCAUGAUUUCAAUUUCAAUAUUCGCUCUUUUUAUAAAGUAAAUGUUAUCAAUGAUUUCGAUUUUGGAUUCUAAUUCCCCAAUUUAGAAAUUAAACACACCAUAAGUGUAAUUUAUAUUAUGGCAGUUUCAUGGUCGAAAAAUUUCGGUUCGAUUUGGAAUGCCUAUCCCUCUAAUGUUUCACACACACAUGGUCCUCUACUUGUCAUUUCUACAAUUGGUCAUAUGUUUCUAGUCAAUUGCAAGAAGCAAUGUACUCUAGCUAAGUACAUGCAAAGGUCAAAAUCUUAAUCUUAAUUAAUUAAGAUUUAAUUUAUUUUAUAUUUUUAUCUAAUAACUAUCAAUUAUUUUUUCAUAAUAAUUAGAAAAAAAAAUUAGUUUAGUAUUGAAAUCAAAUCCACAUUAGAGUUGGGAUGUUACAAAUAUUUGUCAUAGCUGGAAGUUGAACAUGCAAAGGUUCCAGCAAGUGCCUACCAUCAAACUAGGUCAAGGUACAAAAUGCACCCAACAGAUGGAUAUGCAUGUCCUUUUGUUUGAGAUCUUGUGAGUACAAUGCUCCUAAUCCUCAAUACCACAUACAUAAAAAAAAUGGCCUAUAUAUAAACGCCGUUGUGAUUGAAGAAAAGCGGUAUUGCUAUUACUUACUCUUGCCAAUGGCCUUGAUGGACCACUUUUUCACAUCAAACUAACGCAUAAGAGGUAUAAAGCCUAGGUGUAGGAGAGAAAGCCACAACAUAUAUACAAAAACGCAAUUUGGAUAGACCUUGCCGAUCAUGCUAAGUUAAUUAAUCUGUCUGUGAAUGAAGAAGAUUCACCCUAAUUAAUGCUGAGUAAAUUAUUAGUAACCAGGAUGGACAUGUCAUAUGGUUAAUAGGAGCUUUAAAUCCUGAAACUCACCUGGCUACCUGAAUCAAGUGAGUAAGUUAACCACUUUGGUGGAGUUCGACUAUCUAGUUGACUAAUAUCUCAAAGAAAAGGGUAUGUUGAUUAUCAGAAUUUUACAUUCAGUUAAGCCAUUCUGAACAGAGAACUUUUCUUGCAAUGUGAAUUUGUUUUGUUUUUUUUUUUCUCUUUCCUUUUUCUUGAAGGCACGUGAAUUUGUUCUUAAACCCAUCUUAAUCUAGAUAAGCUUGCUGGAUGCUAUAGUCAUCACAGGAUCAGGUAUCUCAAUCAUGUGAGAUUUUUCCUUGGGUUGUUUGUGCCUAAAUAUCCAAGUAGCUAUGCCUGUUGUUGCCUCUGAAUUCUGAUCAUCUAUGCGUGUUUUUUCUCAGUCACAGCAAUUGCGAACAUACACUUAGUUAGUUCAACCAGUAAGAUUUCUUGAGAUAGUACGUAAAAUCGUUAAAUCAAAAUGAUUACGACCUAAGGCGGAUUCAUUUACUUUGAACUAGUCCUCUUUCUAUGUGGAUUACAAUUUGAAAUUAGACGAACCUAUUUUUUCAUUCAGAAAGAAAAAAAAAAUAUUUUUUUCCCUAUUACAGGUUUUCUCAUUGUUGAAGUAACUAGAGUCUCUCACAAGAGAAAAUCUAGAAUACAUCAGAUGUAAUACAACCAAUUAAUGCAUGUAUGAUAUGUGUAGUUGAAUUUUAUAUAAUCAUCAAUUACAUGUUGAUUCUCAAAGUAAUUGCACAUAUGUUAAAACAUCAUUUACUUGUUGUACAUUAGAUAUAAUACAACCAAUUAAUGCAUGUAUGAUAAGUGUAGUUGAAUUUUAUAUAACCACCUAUUACAUGUUGAUUCUCAAAGUAAUUGCACAUAUGUCAUAACAUCAUUUGCUUGUUAUAUGACUGACAUAGUACCUCAGAGAUAUUUCAGAAUUUUUCCGCUAACAAUACUCAAUCAAUGGUAAAGUUUAAAUUAUGUCAGAAAAAACAUUUGCACAAUUAUUGCUAUUUCAAACAUAGAAAUGUGAAGAGUACUAUAUUUUAUGGAAUUUUCUCCGUUAAUUCUUAAAAUUACUACGUGUACAUGUGAUGAUUGCUUGCUACUGUGUAAGGUGAAACAUUUAAUUUGAAGAAGAUUAAUUCCUUCUAGACUGGUAGUAUAGGUCGUUGCUGCCCUGUCGAGGAAUUCUUAUUAGCUUGAAACCUAUCGCAAAUGUCAAUGCAAAAUGGCUUCAAGGUUUUGUUGUAGAGCUGAUGACAAGCUUCUAAAAACAACAUACCAUAUUGGUACACAACUACAAUAAUGGUAGUCCCAAUCCAUGCAGUGUACAAAAUGAUAUGGUCAACAUUAGAACGUUGAGCAAAUGUAAAGACCAAAGAGAUUGCAGAAAUAGAUCCUAAGACAAUAGCAACAAGGCUCCACAACUGGGAAGAAUUUUCUCCAUGAAGUCGAGAUCUCAGGUCAGCUGAAUGUGCAUAGCAAUAUACGACUGUGGCUAUCCGAAAAGACCAUAUGUCCGUUGAAUGUGUUUCAAGCAAGGGCUUAGUUUAGUCUUGCAUAUUUGCACCCACAAUGCCAAUGAGAGCUGGAAUGAGAUAUCCAAAAAUAUUGGCAUAUGACAUGGAGCAGAAGAGAUUUUACCCACUGCAAAAUCAUAAAAAUGCAUGAUUAACCAUCUUAUGUAUAUCCCAUUUCCUUUGAAAAAAAAUAAAUGAAACUUAAAAAGACCCCAUAUUAAUUUCCAGUCAAAUUGUCUGUCAAUUAAUUAUUUGUUUUUCAAAGAUGCAAUUCUCCUCUAAAAAUUUGAGGGAGCGCUUUUCUAUUUUCAUUAACACAUACGAGAUAUUUUUCAUUUGCGUCCAAAUGUUUCACCAAAUCUUAUUGUGUGCACAUCUGUUUCAACAACUCUCACGGCUCACCGUUUUUGUUAAAUAUUGUUGUUGCCGUUAAUUUUGACAAUUUUGAUGUUAAAUGAUAAUUUUACCAGUCAUUGGAAUUAGGUGUAAAAUUACCAGAAAAUCACGACACUUGUUUCAAAUUCGAAUUUUGACCUAUGUGGAUAUUAAAAUUUCGUAAAGGUUUUUUUUUUUUUUAAAAAAAAAAGAAGUGUAAAAAUGUUUUCUUAUGGGAAUCAAAACAUCCCCUCUACCAUCAUCCAUAAUCAUAUAUUCUUGACAACAAUCUAAUAAACUUGAAAAGCAAGAAAUCCAAUCCGAAUCAAUAAAACAAUCAAAUUUCUUCAUAAAGCUUAGCUCUUGCUUUUGAAAUUUCCAAUUCUUGAGACUCUAAAUAAACCGAUAUUCAAAAUUACAUAUUUCUAGAAUAAAAACCUUCAAUUUACCCCUUUAAAUUUUUGAAAACAUCUAUUUGCCUCUAUUUAUCAGUCAAAAGAUUAGAAUAAAUGGAACCCCGUUGAUGACUAACUUUUUAUAUGCUUAAUGGUAUUUGAUAAAUAUAGCUAAAUUGGGGUAAAUUGAAAUUUUAUUCUACAUUUAGAGUGCUUUAAUAAGAGAAAGAAAGAAAGCAGCAAACCUGAUCUAUUUUAAUAAUAAUAAUAAUAAUAAUAAUAAUAAUAAUAAUAAUAAUAAUAAUAUUAUUAUUAUUAUUAUUAUUAUUAUUAUUAUUAUUAUUAUUAUUAUUAUUAAAUAAAUAAAUAAAUAAAAUUAACAUGUAAACUCAGCUUGAAACUUGGGAGAAAUAAAUAUGUGAAUUUUAUUACAUGUUGAUUCUUCAAAUUAAAAUGUAAACACACUCAAUAAACAUUAGACAUAAUACAACUAAUUAAUGCAUGUAUGAUAUGUAUCAUUGAAUUUUUUUACAUGCUGAUUCUUCAAAUUAAUUGCACACAUAUUAGAAAAUCAUGUGUUUGUUGUAUGAUGGACAUAGUAUCUAAAGAUAUUUUAAAAUUUUUCCUCUGAUAAUGCUCAAUCAAAUUAAGGGUAAAGGUUAAAUUAUGAUAGAAAAAGUCUUUGAAUAAUAUUGAACAAAGCAUUUACUUGUAUACUAAAAGAAUGCAUAUGAGGGGCCAAAAAGAGUGAAGAUAUGAGUUUGACUAUUAUCACAUCAAUUAUUACUAUUUCAAACAUAGAAAGAUGAAACUAACAUAUUUUGUGGAAUUUCCUCUGUUACUUACUUAAAAUUACUACGUUACAUGUGAUGAUUGCUUGUUAUUGUCUAAGGUGAAACAUUUAAUUUGAAAAAGAUUAGUUCCUUCUAGAUUGGUAGUACUGAUUGUUGCUGCCCUGUCGAGGAAGUAUUAUUAGCUUGAAACCUAUUGCAAAUGUCAAUGCACAAUGGCUUCAAGGUUUCGCUGUAGAGCUGACGACAAGCUUCAGAAAACAAUGUCCUGUAUUGAUACACAACAAUAAUGACAGUGCCAUUCCACGCAGCGCACAAAAUGAUAUGGCCAGUAUUAGAAUGUGGAAAAAAGGUGGAGAUCAAAGAGAUUGCAGAAGUAGAUCCUGAGACAACAGCAACAAGGCACCAGAACUGGGAAGAAUUUUCUCGACGAAGUCGAGACUUGAGGUCCACUGAAUGUGCAUAACAAUAUAUGACUGUGGCAAUGAGAAAAGACCAUAUAUUUAUUGAGUGUGUUUCAAGUAAGGGCUUAGCUUGGUUGCCUUGCGCAUUCGCACCCACAAUGCCGAUGAGAGCCGGAAUGAGAUAUCCAAAAAUAUUGGGAUAUGACAUCGAGCAGAAGAAAUUUCGCCCACUGCAAAUCAUUAAACUGCAUGAUUAACCAUCUUCUAUAUAUCCCAUUUCCUUUGAAAAAAAAAAUAAUAAAUAAAACUUAAAAAAGACCUCGUAUUAAUUUCCACUCAAAUUGUCAGUCAAUUAAUUUAUUACUUAUUUUCUUUUGGCUGAUGUAAUCUCCUCUAAAAAUUUGAGAGAGCACUUUUCUAUUUUCAUUAGCACAUGUAUAUGAGAUAUUUUUCAUCUGCGUCCAAAUUUUUCAUUAGAUUUUAUUGUGCGCGGACUUGUUUCAAUAACUCUCAUGACUCACCUUUUUUGUUAAAUAUUGUUGUUGCCAUUAGUUUUGAUGAUUAGUGUAAAAUUAUUAGAAAACCACAACACCUGUUUCAAAUUCCAAUUUUGACCUACAUGGAAAUUAAAAUUUCUUAAAGGUUAAAAAAAAGAGUAAAAAUGUUUUCUUAUGGGAAUCAAAAUAUCCCCUCUACCAUCAUCCAUAAUCAUCUAUUCUUGAUAUUAAUCUAAUAAACCGAUAUUCAAAAUUACAUGUUUCUAGAAUGAAAAAAACUUCUAUUUAUCCCUUUAAAUUUUUUAAAACAUCUAUUUACCUCUAUUUAUCAGUCAAAAGAUUAGAAUAAAUAGAAGCGCGUUGAUGACUAACUUUUUAUCUGCUUAAUGGUAUUUGAUAAAUGUAGAUAAAUUGGGGUAAAUUGAAAUUUUAUUCCACAUUUAGAGUGCUUUAAUAAGGGAAAGAAAGAAAACAGAAAACAAAUCCCUUCGAUACGAGGCUUAACAAAAUUUUCAGCAUGGACCUAACCAAAAUUUUUUCACGCGAAUUAAAUUAGGAGAACAAAAACAAUUUGAAAUGGACUGCAUAUGUAUACUCAAAAAUAAAAUACAGCUUGAGUCAAUAAUGGUAAAGAAAAUGACCAUACACCGAAAGGUUUGGAUCUUGAUGAUGCAGAAUGCAGUGGCAGCUUUGCAUUUGCAUUUAUAUACCUCGCCAAACCCCGGAUUGGGUUUUCUUUUUCACGGCAAAUAAGGCAGGGACAAGCAAACCUGAUCGAUUUUAGAACAAAAAUAAUUAAAUAAAUAAAUAAAAGUAAAAUGUAGACUCAGCUUGAAACCUUGGAGAAAAAAAUAACAAUAACAAAGUAAAAAAAAUCACUUACCUUAAGAACAUCUCAAUUAUCUCGUGGAUUGGGUGUUUAUACGGGCAAAAUGAGGGCCAAUUCAACCCCAAUGUAAUCCCGAUUCCGGAACACGUUUGGUCAAGCUCAAGUGCGGCCGAAUGGGGAGGGUUUCCUAGAAAGGUCGCACGGUAGUCCCCCUUAGAAAGUGAAAAUGAAGCCUAUCCUCAAUCAUACUGAUGCAACACAAGGGAGAUUUUUUUUUGGUUAGAUGUAGAGAAUGAUUAAACAGGUCCCAUCAAGUUCAGCGGGCAAGGGCCCCCCGGUAGCUACACGUGAAGAGGGGGCCCCCAGCGCCCCGGCGGGGAAAUUUAAGUGGUACGGUGCCAAUUAAAAUGUGAUUAACUUAUCAAAUAUCAAGAUUUUUUCCAAUAAGGACAUUAGUUUUGCAUUCGUUCGUCUCAAUUAAAUGGUACGGUCCAAUUAAAAUGUUACUAACUUAUCAAAUAUCAAGAUUUUUUUCCAAUAAGGGCAUUAGUUUUGCAUUCGUCUCAAAUAGGUCCCUAACCUUGUAUGACGACUAAGAUACCCUUAGGCGUUAUAUAACUUAGGAAAAUGAUGUUUGUCUCGGGUUAAAUCCCAAAAAUAACUUAAACGGCGUCGUUUUGAGUUUUUUUUUUCUUUUUUAUACUCCAAAACGUUGCCGUUUCUGAUGGACGAUUUUGAGAAGAAUUAAACAAACCUCUUCCUCUUCGUUUCUUCGUUUCAGCUGGGAAAGCCACAGAUAGAAGAGCAAGUUCGUUAAAAAAAUUUGUUUUUUCGUUUCUUCGUUUCUUCGUUUGUUAAAAAAUUUCGUUACUUUCCUUCCUCGACCAAGGUCCAGGCAUUCGGGAUCCACCAACGGUCACCGUCAACGCUGACAGCCACGGUCACCGUCAACGCUGACAGCCACGGUCACCGUCAACGCUGGUAACGCUGGUAGCCGAAACUUGUUUGGGAAAUUAAACUCACGAAGCGGCAAAGUUCACAGCCUGAGGUAAUGCUUCGUUUUUUCCUCUUUAGGUUAUGGCAAAAUGGGGAAGAUCUAGGUUAGGACAGUUAUGAUUAUUUUUCGGCUGAAUUUGGAUAGCUAUUGUGAUUCCCGUUUUAUUUAAGUGUGUUAAAUUGCAAUUGAUUUUCGGCUGAAUUUGGGUACAAUUUUGAAUUUGCUAAUGUUGAGGUUGAGGAUGAGGAUGAGGAUUAGUAUUAUUGAUGGAGGCUUCUAUUGUGUGCAUUUUGGUAUAUAGAUUGUGUGCAUUUUGGUAUAUAGAUUGCUGGCUGGCUGGUUGAUUGUCGAAUUUAUUGGUAACUUGUUGAACUUGGUUGCUGGUUGUUUGCUUGUACAGUUUAUUGGUAACUUUGUUGAACUUGGUUGCUGGCUGGUUGCUGGUUGCUUGUAGCCUUUCUGGCAUAUUGGUUGUAGUUUCAAACCUUUGUGAUUGUGUGUGUGUGUGUGUGUGUGUCUGUGUGUGUGUGUCUGUGUCUCUGUGUGUGUGUGUGUGUGGUUCUGUGUGUGUGUGUGUCUGUGUGUGUGUAUGGUUGUGUGUGUGUGUGGUUGUGUGUGUGUGUGUGUGUGUGUGUGUGUGUCUGUGUGUCUGUGUGUGUGUGUCUGUGUGUCUGUGUCUGUGUGUCUGUGUCUGUGUGUGGUUCUCUGUGUGUGUGUGUGUGUCUGUGUCUGUGUUUUGAAUGUUUGGAAGAGGUUUUAGUAUGUUAUCUGUUUUUGGAAUAAUAGUUUCCCACCAUACCAAUAAAUCAGGGCUGCAUUGGCUGCCGUCAGGAACUGCCUGAUAAAUAAUUCGAGCCCUGCAUACCAGGAUUGCUUCUGGCUUUCUUUUUUGGGGCUUAUCUCUGUAUGCUUAUGAAGUUUCAGAAUCAUUUGUAAAUCAAAUGCUGUAAUGAUGUUGUGGUUUCCAACAGCCUCACUUGCUAAUCCACUGCUCUUGCUCUUGCUCUGCCAACAACCAAUAUGCCAGAAAUAACACACACACACACAGACACACACACACACACACACACACACACACAGAACCCCACACACACACAUACACACAGAACCACACACACACACACAGAGAACCACACACACACACACAGACAAACACACACACACACACAGAGAACCACAGACACACACACACAGAACCAUACACACACACAAGACACACACACACACACAGAAUUUGACACACAUUGUUCUGGUUUUCUUUUCAUUAUUAACUGUAAUUGUAUCCCUUUUCGGCAGUUUCUUUCCAACGGUAUAUGGCUUCACAAACAAUGUCAUCCAACACAAGCGAGAAUCGAAUGUGUAAUGGAUGCGGUGAUCAGAUGGAGCUGUUAACGUCACACAUAACAAAAAAUCCAAAUCGCAAAUUUUGGAUUUGUAGAGGAUAUAACAACUUUCAAUGGGCAGAAGAUCGUAAAUCUAGCGAAGAGAAGAUAAACUUGUUAGUGGAUGAGGUUAGGAAGUUGGCCUUGGAGAUUGAGUGUUUGGCCGUAAAAUUUCAAUUAUUGCAUAAAGAACUUGAGCAUAUGCGAGAUCGUGAAGUGCAGAGGCAAUUGUUGGACAACGAACUUCGAAAGAGAGAGGCACCACGAUAUGAUUUUAUUAAAUUAAUCAUGAUUGUUGUAUUAUGUUAUCUAUUUAAGUACUGUUUUUAAGUUGUUUGUAUUUGUACUAUGUUACUGGAAAAUACUUCUAUUGUAGAAUUUGACCACGAUAUGUAAUAACAUUUUCAUGUAAUAACAUUUUCAUGCAAUGCUCGGACUCACGGCAUGGUUGUGUUCAAGGAUCAAAUUUCCAAUUACCCAUUUUCCACUAACAAUAUCCAAACGUCCUCCAAUUUUAGCAUUGCAUCCAAUUUUUUGGUUUGGUUGAAGCCGCAAAACAUUAGUGGCUUUGGCUUUUGACUUCCCGUUUCUCCCACAAGUAAAUGUAACAUAUCUCAAACUCCCAUCUUCCCCUUUUCUACAAGAUCUCCGCAUCACUGGAAACCCCUCUUGUAGACCAUACGUUUUAUAAUAUUCAAACAUUUCAUCAGGACUAUCAAAAGACAUCCCAACUGUAGGCUCAACAACAUUUUCCACCACCAAUUCCUCAUUGUUUUCUUCCAAAUUAGCCCCCCAGUAAAUCCUGCAAUUCCCCAACUUCAUCAACCUCCUCCACUUGUUCGAAAUUAUCCAUUAACUGCUGCAAAUGAAAAUGGGAAGAGUUAAUCGAAAUUAUCCACUUGUUCGAAAUUCCCCAAUGCAAAUGCAUGUUAAUUUGCCUAAAGUUUUCAUAUGAUUCUAGGCAGUAAAAGAUGAGAAAAAAGAUUUUAAUCAACAAUGCAAACCCUCCCACCCCAAUUCGUAAGUAUUGCGCAAGUUCUGUAGUUCUUUAAUUGCUCAUGCCGAUUCCAAAAUUUAGUAAUAAUAAUAAUAGAAUAAGAAGAGGAAUUUUAUUCUCGAGCAUUAUCAUACUUUAAUGCAUGUACCCAUUAUAUUAACUUAAUUGUCAAAUAACGGCAAUAUCACCCAAAACAAAGUUUCAUACAAUGUUGUAAAAAAUAAAUUAUGAUUUGAGAACUGAAAAAAUAAUAUGAGAACUGAAAAAAUGAGACAAAUCAAGAAUAUGAGAACUGAAAAAAUUAAUUCAAUGUUACAAUGUUCUAAAAACGAAGGCCAACUUCCUAAAAUAAAAUUAAAAAACAAAAUGCUACAAUGUUAAUCUUCCGUCCAAACUCAGCUUUCAACCGUCCAAAUUCAGCUUGUCCAAACUCAGCUUUCAACCGUCCAAACUCAUCUUGUCCAAACUCAUCUUUCAACCGUCCAAACUCAUCUUUCAAGGACACAUUUCGCAGCCGAAACUCAGCUGCUGUUGGUCUUGUUCUUCAAUGGGUGCGAAACGAAAAAGAAACUCAGACGCUUUCAACUCAGCUUACAAGGACAAAUUUCGCAGCCGAAACUCAGCUGCUGUUGGUCUUGUUCUUCAAUGGGUGCGAAACGAAAAACAAACUCAGACGAAGAGGAUGGAGCUUUAAUUAGUAGAUCCCGUUCUGCUGUCGAUGAGUGCUCCGGCUGUGGAUCUCGGUCGAGGAUGGAAGAAACGAAAAAGAAACGAACAAACGAAAAAGAAAAUAAAAGAAAACGACGCAAAUCAUUCAAUAAACAAACGAAAAAGAAAAAAAAAAAAAAAAGAAACGACGCCAUUUUGUAUUUUUCGGGGUUUGACCCGGGGCAAACAUCAGCACUCUAUAACCUAUACACUUGCUGUUUUGUUCUGCAAAGGAAGGACAACACCCUUUACCUCAGAGCCUUUGAGCUCAGUCUGAGGGCACAUAAAAGGUCGCUUGAAGAACAAGCGGAGUUGAUGUGAGUGUUGCGUUGCCGCAUGGCAAAGAAUAAGAGGGUAUCGCACUAUCGCUAAUCCCUGCGGCAUUUGACGACUAUUAUUAUCAAAACAAGUAUAAAAUUUGACGAAAAUAUCACAACAAUUAUUACCUUCGAUAAAAUUUAACAAAAAUAUAUAUCAUUGGUAUUUCAAAUAUAGAAAUCCGAGUAUAAUAGAAAUAUUUCAAUCUAGAAUCAUAGAUUUCUUAAAGUCUGAAAAAGUUAUGAUUUAAUACAAUAAUAGUUGGAAAAGCUAUUAAGGCAUAAGAUUUUAGUAGUAUAAUAACAUUAUACUAUUAAAUCAUAUGUCUUAAUAACUUUCCCAAACUAUAAUAAAAUUUAGGAUCAUGAAUCAAAUUAGUACACCUGAACACAAAUAUAAUAUAAAUAUAUAUGUUUACGGAAUUUCUCCACUACAUUUCUUUUUGUUCUAAGGAGGUUGUUCCUUAUCACUAGACCUAUAACUUGACAUAGCAGUUAUGAUGAUUGCUACUAGCAGGUGAAACAUUUAAAGAAGAGUUAUUAGCUUGAACCUAUUGCAAAUGUCAGAGCCAAAAGGCUUCAAUGUUUCAUGGUAGAGCUGAUGACAAGUGGUGGCAGCGGUUCAAGCUUUUGUGGGGGCUAAAUGUUCUUAAUAUUUAUAAAUUAUUUUCUCUUUCGAAAUGCGAGUGGGAUAUGAAUAUCCCUCCUUUGUGAGAGGUUAUUUGUCUGGACAUGUACUUCACAUAAUUUAAUAUAAUAAUGUAAGUCUCAAUCAUGUACUUCACAGAAUUCAAUGUAAUAAUGUAAAUCUCAAUCAUGUAUAUCUGAUUGUAAAUAUCAGUGUAAUAUAUUUACUAUAAUAAUAAUUGUAAAUAUUUAUGUAAUGUAGUAAUCUGAUGUGUAAUCAGUAUUUAAAAAAAAAAAAAAAGACUGGUGACAAGCAUAAAUAAACAAUAUGAGAUAGUGAUACACGACAAUGAUAAUAGCAAAGCAAAUCCAUUAAAGUGUGCAAAAUGAUGUGACCGCUGACCAGUAUUUGACCAAUAUUAAUAUUAGAGCGUUGGCUGUUGAGACCAAAGAGAGUGCAGAAACAGACCCUUGGACAACAACAAGGCCCCCGCCACCAAAAUCAGGAAGAAACUUUUCGAUGAAGUUUAGACCUCAGUGCCAGCUAAACAUGCAUAACAAUAAAUGGUUAUGGCUAUCAGAAAAGACCAUAUAUUUACUAAGUGUGUUUUAAGUAAGAGCUUAGUUUUACCUUACAUAUUUGUAGUGUCGCAUUCAGAAUUAAAGCCUAAUAGCAGCAAAUAUAAUUUCUUUAAUUUAUUUUCCUAAAAUGUUUUAAAAUAAUUUUGGAUAUAACAUACUCAUUUAAAAUGAUUUUAAUGAUGAUAAUUUAAUUUUCAGUAUAUAAUCUUAUAAAUUACUUAAAGUCGGUGGAGUAAAUUAAAAAUUUUAUUAGGACAAAAAUUUUUUUAUUGAAUUUUAGAAAAUAUUUUUAGAAAAAAGAUUAAGACUUACGGGGACAACUGCCACAGCUUGUCUUUACGUGACUCCACCAGUGCCGAUAUUUGCACCCACAAUGCCGAUAGGAGCUGCAAUGAGAUAUCCAAAAAUACUAAGGUAUGUGAAUAAAGAAAUCAUCUUAGACCCACCAGUCCUUUGAACUAAAACCACCAACAUGCGAAGAAGAAGGAUUUAGAAUAAAUAAAUAAAUACAAAGUUUUGCUUUUUUUUUUUGCUACAAGAGAAGAAAAUUUGAAUUAGCUAUUUGGAAGAGAUAGGCAUGCUCAAACUAAAUUUUUCCCUUGGGUAUUAAUCAAUGGUCAUAACCCGGAUUUGAAAUGGUAAUUUAAUUUCGCUGUUACCCAGAUUUGAAAGACAGUAUUAAGUGCAAUUUAUGUUUCAGCAGUUUAUGGUCGAAAAUGUAAGUGAAGUCGUUAGCAGAUUGCCUAUUAUUAGGAUUUUUAUUGAUCUAAAUUCUCUUGAAUUUUUAAGAUGCGUACUGUAGUAGUAAGGUAUGGAUAGAAUUUAAGUUCUUAAUUUUUUUUUUAUGUAUUAACCACCAAUCAACGUAUGAAUUUAAGAAAUUUAGAUCAGAAGAGAAUUUCAUCCUUUUGUAUUGAGAUGUUAUAAUUUAAAAAACUGAAAAUAAAUUAUAAUUAUAAAAUAAAAAUUAACAUCUUAAUAAUUUUGACCGAAAAGUAAAAAUACUGUAGAUUUUUCAUUAUAUAUGUAGUAAAUUAAAUCAAUUUAAUUUUUAAGCCACAAUUAUUAUUAUCUACCAAAUAUUUAGGGCUAUAGCUAACCUUAACACUAAAUGGGGGCAUUCGGCUCCCACGAUUAAUCUGUUGAGGCUGCAUUGGUUGGAAUGUACGAUGAGGAUGGCAUUUUUUGUCUUAUUCGUGCUUCAUAAAUCAUUAUAAAGCCGAUUAUUCGUGGCAGACAUUUGAUUAAUAUCUCCUCGCGGUUUCAUAUGGAAAAUUGGGAUGUUACCAGCGUUGUGUUGUCUUAAUAUUUUCCUGUAGUUUUUGCAACCCAGUACGCCACCUGUCAUCUUGUUUGCCCUCGAGGAUGAACAGAAGCCCAGUGCGCAAUGGGCAAAAGGAUUGACAGUGACUUGGUUUCAGGUACAAUUUGUCCGCAACAGCAAAUUAAAUAAAAUAAAGUAAUAAUUAAUAAAUAGAUUAAUUUGAAGAAAUUUAAAUUUUUAUUAAUAUAUUUUUCGUAUUUCAAGGAUUAAAUACCUCUCUAGUUUUUUUUAUACACUUAUUUAUUACAAUAUUGAUAUUUAGAAUCAGAAAUUUAUCAGAACUUAUUUGAGUAAUUCUAUUAUAGCACAAGCUGAAUAUCAAUCCUCACUAAAUUGGAGAAAAAUUUGUCUUCACUAUUAUUAAAGAGAAAUCGAUCAUAUUCCUACCCCAAUAUGGGGAGUCAAUUAACUCCCAUUAUAUAGAAAAAUAAAUCCCAACGAUGACCCUAAGCUGGGACUUGAAUCCAUGCCCUCAAGGUUGUUGAGGGCAUGGGCACACCAAUGGGCUUGUAGCCCAUUGGCAAAUACCUCUCUAGUUGAUAAAUAAUAUUCCAGAUUUUUAUUACUAUAGUUGAUGCUAGUUAGUCCACAUAUAAAACUUAAAAAUUAAGAAUAGGAAUAAAAACUAGACACCAUUAAUUUAAACUAAAACAAAUAAUUUGUUCACUAACCAACCACAAGUUUACUAAGUCCAAGUACACGUUAAUCACGACCAAUAGGAUGAAUACAGUUUAAAACAAAUAAAAAUAUAGAAUUAGGGAUCGUAACACUCCUUCACCUUAAAAGUACUCUUUGCCGUCAAGGGUGGACUUUGUUAAGGAGUCUUCUCUCGUCAACAUACUUCUCCGAAUUUGACCACGACAACAUAAUAAUGGCUAGAGUCCCGUCACCGUCCAACCAUAAUGGCCACUUCAAGGCCAAAGGUUUUGCGUGUGUGCAUGCUUCUUGACUUUUUCAUUGGUGCAUUAAAUUUUGUUUUGUAUUCCGAAAUCAAGCAUGCAUGCAUGCUCCUUGGCUCUUUUCAUAUUCCACAAGGAUGCAUUAAAAAAUAAAACUCUCACUUUAAGAACAUCUCAACUAUCUCUGCUUAAAAAAAUUAUCUCAUCUCGUGUGUGUGUGUGUAGGUAAAACGAGCCUCAUUUUUUAAUUCAAUUUAAUCUCCAAUCGCGAAAAUUUGGUUAAGCAAAAAUGCGGUGCGACUGGGGGGAGUUUCGUCGGAAGGUAAUCAGAUAUUAAAACGAACUCAAUAAGUUAUCAUGAAGCCUAUCGGCAUCAUACUGAAUUACUGACGCAAAUGACUUCCGAGUUUCCAUUUCCCUGUUCCCAUCAAGGGUCAAAGGGCUCCAGUAGCUGCGCGUAAAGGGCCCCAGUGGGAAAUUUAAUCGGUAAGGGGUCCCAGUCAAAAAUGUGAAGGCAUUAAACUAUAGGGGUAAUUUGGGUAUUCGUUUAUUUAAUUUAAUUCGAUUUAAAGUAAAUAAGUUUGAGUUUAAAAAAAAUUAAUUUAUUUAAUAAAUGGUGAAUUCGACUUCAUUUUCACUUUUAGGUUAAUCUGUAUUAAUUAUUUUUAUACUUAUUUAAUUCUUUAUUUAUUGUUAUUGAAGUUUGUCCAGUCAUUUAUUUAUAAGUUUUUCUUUUAUGGAUAUAGUUUAAUAAUUUGGUUGAUGAUUAUGUUAAUCAAUUCUUUUAGGCUCAAUAUUUGAUUCUCUAAUCAUUUAAUUUAGACUUUGAAUUAAGUGUCUAUUUCUUUUUACAGUUCUAAGAGCUGGUUUUGUAGGUUGGACUUGAUCCUUUCAAAACGGUGUUAUUUAUUCAUUAAGUGUACAUGAUUUCUUUAAGAUACUGACAGCCAAAGGGAGAACAAAAGAAAAAAAGAUUGGAAUGCAUAUAAAGAUACAAAUUAACGAUGAAAUAUGUAGGGAUAACCAAAAAUAAACAAAUAGUUAAGCAACUUUUCUUGAAUCUAUAGAUAUAUUUUUUUUAUCUUCUCAUAUUUUUUACAAAAUUAUUUGAAGAAUUAUUAUAUUUUUUAAUAUAAGAAUUUAUUAAAGUUGAUUAAUUAUUAUGCUCUCUCAUGCAAGCAAGAAUCAUUAAUGAAUAUGUGAUGAUUUGAUUACUAGGUGUCCAAUAAUAUCCUACAAUAGCUUUUUUUUUUUUUUUUUUGAUACACUGAUAUAGUAAAAUCAGAAUUUUUACUGAUAUUUACAAUCAGAAAUUAGUCGGGACCAUCCUGAAUAAGCCUAUUACAGCACAACCCGAAGUCAACGCUCACUUAAAAGCUGGAGGUGAUCAAUCCUACCCCAAUGUGGGUAGAUAACUAACCCCUAUUAUAUAGGGGAGUCAAUCCUACAAUAGCUUAUUGAAUUGCAAUACUUGGAUUAAAUCUCUUAAGAAAUUGGCUUUCUCAUCUUGUUGCAGAACUCAGUUAGCAACUUAAACACUAUUUCAUGUUGUUUGUCAAAUUUUAUCCCUCUUAUUUUGCCUUGUGUCUUCUUCUUAGUCUAAUAAACUGCAUAUUAUAUUAUUACGUAUGAAUACAAGAAAUAGGAAAACAUAUAUAUAAUAAAAAAAUUUAAUAUUACCAGAAAUGUCUAGAGCACUAGGUAGUGCAACAUAUUUGUCAUUUAUUUGUAUAUACAUCAACUGUUGGAGAUGUUUGAAAGAAAUAUGAUCCAAGAGCCAUGCUACAAUGUAUUAUAAUUAUAUAAACCAAAUGACUAAACCAACUAUAUAAAUUCUUUCUCGCAAACAAGAUGAAGCACUAGAAAGUCAGCCAUAAGAUGUGCUUACCAUUUGGUUUCUUUUUUUUUUCAAAGUGAGUUUGAUAGUCUUUUUAUGUUAAAAAUCAACUUUAGUAUAUUAUGUGAUGAUUUUUCAAGUUGGAUUAUUUUAUUAUACUUUGAUUAAUUUUAUUAGUAUCCGAUCAUAUUAUGCAUUGUCGCACAAAAGGUUCUCGUACACAAGUUAUUUUUAAUUUAAAGUUUUUGUUAUUAGAUUUCAAUUUGUAGGACUGAAAUUUGUAAUCACGACUGCUUAUUCUUAACAAUGAGACAAAAAGUUUUCUAAUACAAUAUAUGACUUGCCAUUUGCCAAAAAGGUAAUGGUCACAAGAUAACAAUUUUUCGACUAAAAAUUUUUUCAUUACUGGAUAUCAAUUUACGUGACUAAAAUACGUCAUCAUAGAUGCUUGUUUUAAAUGAUGGUUAAAAACAGUCAUUAAACUUUUCAGUUAUAAUGUAAAUAGUCGUGAAAAAAAUAUAUUGUUGUUAAAAAUCAUUUAAGACAAUAUUUAAUAUACUUUGCAACAAAAGAACAGUCACAAAAUAACAUUUUUCGAUUCAAAAUUGUUUUGCCACGAGAUAUCAAUUUAAGUGACUAACCAUUGUAGUCGUGGAUGUUUGCUUCUAAUACCGAGAAAAUAGUCACAUACGAUGUUACUAGUCAUAAGUGACAACUUGACAAUAAUAUAACGUCGUGAUAGGUAUACUUUAGCGACAAAAACAUAAUGUUGCUAAUUAUAUUUUUGAACCUCUAAAUUGACGAUUUUGAGUAGCAAUUACUACUAUUUUUACUUACCCUUAAGACAAACAUUUUAGUCAUUAUAAAUCACUAAUAGUAACGAAAAUAGAAUGUCGCUAAUUGCACUUUUGACUUUUGAACAUCUAAAUUGACCACUUUGAAUAUCAUUCACGACGUGUUAAAUUUAAAUUUAGGACAAAUGGUUUAGUCAUAAAAACAUACUAUUUUAUGUGACAAAUAAUUUUGGUUGCUAUAACCUAAUGUGACACACUUGGUGUGUUUAAUUGUAAUUUACUUUUUGUUAUUCCUGGAUUUGAAAGACAAUUAAUGGUGCACUUACUAAACGAGAGUCAGAAUGGGGUAGAAUCAGAAUGAAUUGGAAUCGAAAUGAGGAAUGAGAAUCAUAAUAAAUUGUCUAUUUUAUUUGUAGGAAUCAGAUUUGGAAUGAGCUGAAUUGCAAUUGAUGUGUUUACUUUUUCUUGGAAUUUAAAUAGAAAUGAAUUAGAUUGUUGCAAAUUACUAAAAAAAAUUAAUUAACUAUUAUCAUAAUUAUUACUUUUUAUUUUAAUUAUUGUGAUUAUUAUUAUUCUUAUUAUUAAAUAUUGUUAAUGAUAAUUAUUAUUAUUAACAUUAAUAUAAUAAUAAUGGUGAUGAUGAUGAUCAUCAUAAUCAUCAUCAACAAUAUCAUUGUUGGCAUAAUCAUCAUCGUCGGCAUUAGAUUAAAACGCGACUGCUACUGUUGCCGCUUGUGACACAACGGCUGCUCAUGACUACUACUGCUUGUGAUGUGACGACUGGCAACUAGUUGUUGCUCCACAAGCAAUGACCGACAGCAACAAGGGGGCUCAUCCACGGAUUGCGUGCUUUUUUUUUUUUUUUUUAACUGAGGACAAAGUUGGGAUUAUUGAUUAUGUUGGGGGGCAAAAUUGUCGCUCCUGGAAUGAGAGACUGAUUCCCACCUCCUUAGGAAUCAGUCUCUCAUUUCCUAUUUCUAAAUUUAGGUGGACUCCAUAAUUUCGAUUUUAAUAUUCGCUCUUUUUAUAAAAUAAAUACUAUCAAUGAUUUCGAUUUUGGAUUCUACUUGUCAUUUCUGGCAGUUUCAUGGUCGAAAAGUUUUGGUUCGAUUUGGAAUGCCUAGCCCUCUAAUGUUUCACACACACAUGGUCCUCUACUUGUCAUUUCUACAAUUGGUCAUAUGUUUCUAGUCAAUUGCAAGAAGUAAUGUACUCUAGCUAAGUACAUGCAAAGGUCAAAAUCUUAAUCUUAAUUAAUUAAGAUUUAAUUUAUUUUAUAUUUUUAUCUAAUAACUAUCAAUUAUUUUUUCAUAAUAAUUAGAAAAAAAAUUAGUUUAGUAUUGAAAUCAAAUCCACAUUAGAGUUGGGAUGUUACAAAUAUUUGUCAUAGCUGGAAGUUGAACAUGCAAAGGUUCCAGCAAGUGCCUACCAUCAAACUAGGUCAAAGUACAAAAUGUACCCAACAGAUGGAUAUGUUAGAUUUAUUUCUCAUAUUAUGUGGACUGACAUAAAUCAUUCUAAUUGUUUUCUAUAUUUUACCGAAUUAAUACGUGACUAAUGUCAAAUAUUAUGGAGCAAUUUUGACAGACUGAUCAAAUAUUGUGUUAAUGAGUCUGAUUUUGACAUACCCUAUACAGUAGUAUAGUAUGGACAAGUAUAAUCCUUAAUUGUGUUAUUUUAGCUCAUAAUGGGAUGGGCAAUUUUGUACUAACACAUGAGGGGUCCAUGCGCUCAACCACUGUGUUUAAGUAACUUCAGCCCAUUGGCAGGUUACUGUUCAAGAAAUCUGUGGCAUGAGUGCAGUGCACCUCUCUCUCUCUCUCCCUCUUGUCUCCCGUGUGUGCACAGUGACUUGUUGAGGAAAGCUGAAGGAAAGGAAGCGGGAAUUCAUAAGCUGGAUCAAAGUUGUAGCAACUCUGUUAAAGCUCCAUAACAAGCUUCCAAGCUCGGAUCCAUGGGAGAUCAUGGUAAAUUUUCGAAAUGACCUAAAAUAUGUGUUUAUUUGGAAAUGCAAUAUUAAGGGUAUAAAGUUUAUUUUUGUUUCAUCAGGAUAUGCAUGUCCUUUUGUUUGAGAUCUUGUGAGUACAAUGCUCCUAAUCCUCAAUACCAUAUACAUAAAAAAAUGGCCUAUAUAUAAACGCCGUUGUGAUUGAAGAAAAGCGGUAUUGCUAUUACUGACUCUUGCCAAAGGCCUUGAUGGACCACUUCUUCACAUCAAACUAACGCAUAAGAGGUAUAAAGCCUAGGUGUAGGAGAGAGAGCCACAACAUAUAUACAAAAACGCAAUUUGGAUAGACCUUGCCGAUCAUGCUAAGUUAAUUAAUCUGUCUGUGAAUGAAGAAGAUUCACCCUAAUUAAUGCUGAGUAAAUUAUUAGUAACCAGGAUGGACAUGUCAUAUGGUUAAUGGGAGCUUUAAAUCUGAAACUCACCUGGCUACCUGAACCAAGUGAGUAAGUUAACCACUUUGGUGGAGUUCGACUAUCUAGUUGACUAACAUCUCAAAGAAAAAGGUAUGUUGAUUAUCAGAAUUUUACAUUCAGUUAAGCCAUUCUGAACAGAGAACUUUUCUUGCAAUGUGAAUUUGUUUUGUUUUUUUUUUUUUUUUUUUCUCUUUCCUUUCUUUUGAAGGCACGUGAAUUUGUUCUUAAACCCAUCUUAAUCUAGAUAAGCUUGCUGGAUGCUAUAGUCAUUACAGGAUCAGGUAUCUCAAUCAUGUGAGAUUUCUCCUUGGGUUGUUUGUGCCUAAAUAUCCAAGUAGCUAUGCCUGUUGUUGCCUCUGAAUUCUGAUCAUCCAUGUGUGUUUUUUCUCAGUCACAGCAAUUGCGAACAUACACUUAGUUAGUUCAAUCAGUAAGAUUUCUUGAGAUAGUACGUAAAAUCGUUAAAUCAAAAUGGUUACGACCUAAGGCGGAUUCAUUUACUUUGAACUAGUCCUCUUUCUAUGUGGAUUACAAUUUGAAAUUAGACGAACCUAUUUUUUCAUUCAGAAAGAAAAAAAAAAUAUUUUUUUCCCUAUUACAGGUUUUCUCAUUGUUGAAGGAACUAGAGUCUCUCACAAGAGAAAUUCUAGAAUACAUCAGAUGUAAUACAACCAAUUAAUGCAUGUAUGAUAUGUGUAGUUGAAUUUUAUAUAAUCAUCAAUUACAUGUUGAUUCUCAAAGUAAUUGCACAUAUGUUAAAACAUCAUUUACUUGUUGUACAUUAGAUAUAAUACAACCAAUUAAUGCAUGUAUGAUAAGUGUAGUUGAAUUUUAUAUAACCACCUAUUACAUGUUGAUUCUCAAAGUAAUUGCACAUAUGUCAUAACAUCAUUUGCUUGUUAUAUGACUGACAUAGUACCUCAGAGAUAUUUCAGAAUUUUUCCUCCAACAAUACUCAAUCAAUGGUAAAGUUUAAAUUAUGUCAGAAAAAACAUUUGCACAAUUAUUGCUAUUUCAAACAUAGAAAUGUGAAGAGUAAUAUAUUUUAUGGAAUUUUCUCCGUUAAUUCUUAAAAUUACUACGUGUACAUGUGAUGAUUGCUUGCUACUGUGUAAGGUGAAACAUUUAAUUUGAAGAAGAUUAAUUCCUUCUAGACUGGUAGUAUAGGUCGUUGCUGCCCUGUCGAGGAAUUCUUAUUAGCUUGAAACCUAUCGCAAAUGUCAAUGCAAAAUGGCUUCAAGGUUUUGUUGUAGAGCUGACGACAAGCUUCUAAAAACAACAUACCAUAUUGGUACACAACUACAAUAAUGGUAGUCCCAAUCCAUGCAGUGUACAAAAUGAUAUGGUCAAUAUUAGAACGUGGAACAAAUGUAAAGACCAAAGAGAUUGCAGAAAUAGAUCCUAAGACAAUAGCAACAAGGCUCCACAACUGGGAAGAAUUUUCUCCAUGAAGUCGAGAUCUCAGGUCAGCUGAAUGUGCAUAGCAAUAUACGACAGUGGCUAUCCGAAAAGACCAUAUGUCCGUUGAAUGUGUUUCAGGCAAGGGCUUAGUUUGGUCUUGCAUAUGACAUGGAGCAGAAGAGAUUUUACCCACUGCAAAAUCAUAAAAAUGCAUGAUUAACCAUCUUCUGUAUAUCCCAUUUCCUUUGAAAAAAAAUAAAUGAAACUUAAAAAGACCUUGUAUUAAUUUCCAGUCAAAUUGUCUAUCAAUUAAUUAUUUGCUUUUGACAAAUGCAAUUCUCAUCUAAAAAUUUGAGGGAGCGCUUUUCUAUUUUCAUUAACACAUACGAGAUAUUUUUCAUUUGCGUCCAAAUGUUUCAUCAAAUUUUAUUGUGUGCACCUCUGUCCUCUGUUUCAACAACUCUUACGGCUCAUCGUUUCUGUUAAAAAAUAUUGUUGCCGUUAAUUUUGACAAUUUUGAUGUUAAAAGACAAUUUUACCAGUCAUUGGAAUUAGGUGUAAAAUUACCAGAAAACCACAGCACUUGUUUCAAAUUCCAAUUUUGACCUAUGUGGAUAUUAAAAUUUCUUAAAGGUUUGAAAAAAAAAAAAGAAUUGUAAAAAUGUUUUCUUAUGGGAAUCAAAACAUCCCCUCUACCAUCAUCCAUAAUCAUAUAUUCUUGAUAAUGAUCUAAUAAACUUGAAAAAGCAAGAAAUCCAAUCCUAAUCAAUAAAACAAUCAAAUUUCUUCAUAAAGUUUAGCUCUUGCUUUUGAAAAUUCCAAUUCUUGAGACUCUAAAUAAACCGAUAUUCAAAAUUACAUAUUUCUAGAAUGAAAAAUCUUCAAUUUAUCCCUUUAAUUUUUUUAAAACAUCUUUAAAUUUUUGAAAACAUCUAUUUGCCUCUAUUUAUCAGUCAAAAGAUUAGGAUAAAUGGAAGCGCGUUGAUGACUAACUUUUUAUCUACUUAAUGGUAUUUGAUAAAUAUAGCUAAAUUGGGGUAAAUUGAAAUUUUAUUCUACAUUUAGAGUGCUUUAAUAAGAGAAAGAAAGAAAGCAGCAAACCUGGUCUAUUUAAAUAAUAAUAUUAUUAUUAUUAAAUAAAUAAAUAAAAUUAACAUGCAAACUCAGCUUGAAACUUGGGAGAAAAAAAUAUGUGAAUUUUAUUACAUGCUGAUUCUUCAAAUUAAAAUGUAAACACACUCAAUAAACAUUAGACAUAAUACAACUAAUUAAUGCAUGUAUGAUAUGUAUCAUUGAAUUUUAUUACAUGCUGAUUCUUCAAAUUAAUUGCACACAUAUUAGAAAAUCAUGAGUUUGUUGUAUGAUGGACAUAGUAUCUAAAGAUAUUUUAAAAUUUUUCCUCUGAUAAUGCUCAAUCAAAUUAAGGGUAAAGGUUAAAUUAUGAUAGAAAAAGUCUUUGAAUAAUAUUGAACAAAGCAUUUACUUGUAUACUAAAAGAAUGCAUAUGAGGGGCCAAAAAGAGUGAAGAUAUGAGUUUGACUAUUAUCACAUCAAUUAUUACUAUUUAAAACAUAGAAAGAUGAAACUAACAUAUUUUGUGGAAUUUCCUCCGUUACUUACUUAAAAUUACUACGUUACAUGUGAUGAUUGCUUGUUAUUGUCUAAGGUGAACAUUUAAUUUGAAAAAGAUUAGUUCCUUCUAGAUAGGUAGUACUGAUUGUUGCUGCCCUGUCGAGGAAGUAUUAUUAGCUUGAAACCUAUUGCAAAUGUCAAUGCACAAUGGCUUCAAGGUUUCGAUAUAGAGCUGAUGACAAGCUUCUGAAAACAAUGUCCUAUAUUGAUACACAACAAUAAUGACAGUGCCAAUCCACGCAGCGCACAAAAUGAUAUGGCCAGUAUUAGAAUGUGGAAAAAAGGUGGAGAUCAAAGAGAUUGCAGAAGUAGAUCCUGAGACAACAGCAACGAGGCACCAGAACUGGGAAGAAUUUUCUCGACGAAGUCGAGACUUGAGGUCCGCUGAAUAUGCAUAGCAAUAUAUGGCUGUGGCAAUGAGAAAAGACCAUAUAUUUAUUGAGUGUGUUUCAAGCAAGGGCUUAGCUUGGCUGGCUUGCGCAUUUGCACCCACAAUGCCGAUGAGAGCCGGAAUGAGAUAUCCAAAAAUAUUGGGAUAUGACAUCGAGUAGAAGAAAUUUCGCCCACUGCAAAUCAUUAAAAUGCAUGAUUAACCAUCUUCUAUAUAUCCCAUUUCCUUUGAAAAAAAAAUAAUGAAUAAAACUUAAAAAAGACCUCGUAUUAAUUUCCACUCAAAUUGUCUGUCAAUUAAUUAUUUGCUUUUGGCUGAUGUAAUUCUCCUCUAAAAAUUGAGAGAGCACUUUUCUAUUUUCAUUAGCACAUGUAUAUGAGAUAUUUUUCAUCUGCGUCCAAAGUUUUCAUUAGAUUUUAUUGUGCGCGGACUUGUUUCAAUAACUCUCAUGACUCACCUUUUUUGUUAAAUAUUGUUGUUGCCAUUAGUUUUGAUGAUUAGUGUAAAAUUAUUAGAAAACCACAACACCUGUUUCAAAUUCCAAUUUUGACCUACAUGGAAAUUAAAAUUUCUUAAAGGUUAAAAAAAAGAGUAAAAAUGUUUUCUUAUGGGAAUCAAAAUAUCCCCUCUACCAUCAUCCAUAAUCAUCUAUUCUUAAUAUUAAUCUAAUAAACCGAUAUUCAAAAUUACAUGUUUCUAGAAAGAAAAAACUUCUAUUUAUCCCUUUAAAUUUUUGAAAACAUCUAUUUACCUCUAUUUAUCAGUCAAAAGAUUAGAAUAAAUAGAAGCGUGUUGAUGACUAACUUUUUAUCUGCUUAAUGGUAUUUGAUAAAUGUAGAUAAAUUGGGGUAAAUUGAAAUUUUAUUCCACAUUUAGAGUGCUUUAAUAAGGGAAAGAAAGAAAACAGAAAACAAAUCCCUUCGAUACGAGGCUUAACAAAAUUUUCAGCAUGGACCUAACCAAAUUUUUUUCGCGCAAAUUAAAUUAGGAGAACAAAAAUAAUUUGAAAUGGACUGCAUAUGUAUACUCAAAAAUAAUAUACAGCUUGAGUCAAUAAUGGUAAAGAAAAUGACCAUACACCGAAAGGUUUGGAUCUGGAUGAUGCAGAAUGCAGUGGCAGCUUUGCAUUUGCAGUUAUAUACCUCGCCAAACCCUGGAUUGGGUUUUCUUUUUCACGGCAAAUAAGGCAGGGACAAGCAAACCUGAUCGAUUUUAGAACAAAAAUAAAUAAAUAAAUAAAAGUAAAAUGUAAACUCAGCUUGAAACCUGGGAGAAAAAAAUAACAAUAACAAAGUAAAAAAAAUCACUUACUUUAAGAACAUCUCAAUUAUCUCAUGGAUUGGGUAUUUAUACGGGCAAAAUGAGGGUCAAUUGAACCCCAAUGUAAUCCCGAUUCCGGAACACGUUUGGUCAAGCUCAAGUGCGGCCGAAUGGGGAGGGUUUCCUAGAAAGGUAGCAAGGUAGUCCCCCUUAGAAAGUGAAAAUGAAGCCUAUCCACAAUCAUAGGGAUGCAACACAAGGUAGAUUUUUUUUUUUUGUUAGAUGUAGAAAAUGAUUAAAGAGGUCCCAUCAAGUUCAGCGGGCAAGGGCCGCUCGGUAGCUACACGUGAAGAGGGGCCCCCCAGCGCCCCGGCGGUGAAAUUUAAGUGGUACGGUCCCAAUUAAAAUGUGAUUAACUUAUCAAAUAUCAAGAUCUUUUCCAAUAAGGACAUUAGUUUUGCAUUCGUUCGUCUCAAAUAGGUCCCUAACCUUGUAUGACGACUAAGAUACCCUUAACCCGUUGGACCAAUCUACCUUACAGAUUCUGUAAGUAACGGCCUGUGAGUUGACAAGAGGAUAUAUGGAUGCGUAGCACGUGGACGGCGGAUGGAAUGGGAUAUUAUAUAUGGAACCAGACAUUCCGGUUUUCUUCGGGUGACAAAAUGAAUUCCUUCCCGGUUGCUGACCGGUAACCCAUCACUGAAAGUGGUAAAAAAAAUUAGGCUGAUGGGCCGUGUAUUGAAAAUCCAAAUAUUUGCAAUUUGAUAGUGGAAAAAUGUUGGUGGUUAUAGGCUUCCAGCGUAUCGAAUUAUUAUUCAGACUCGUGCAUAUAGCAAGUGAGGCGACGUUGCAUCUCCUGCAACAGCAUGGUGUGAAAAAACCCCUUCAAAAUAUUUUCUCACUUUGGAUCCACGGUGUGUGAUCCAGUUUAAGCAAUCGCGGCUGCCUCGGAGGUAGCAUGACCUAAACUGUUUUUUUUUUACCGACACCAACCUAAUUAAAAUACAAUUAAUUCUGUAAAUUUCUCCAACCACGUGUCCUUUUGUUACUUCUCACAUCCGGUUGCACAUUAACCAUUAAAAUCGGUUUCCCCAUGCUUUGGGUUUUCUUUCCCCUUAUUUUUCUGACCGUUGCCAACCCUCCAUCUUUCUCUAUCCACAUUCAACGAUUGAGAUUACAGGUCUGUUACUUACAGAAUCUGUAAGGUAGACAGGUCCCUUAACCCGUUGGACCAAUCUACAGGUCUGUUACUUACAGAAUCUGUAAGGUAGACAGGUCCUUAACCGUUAUAUGAUUUACACACUUGCCGUUUUGUUCUGCAAAGGAGGACACCACCCGUUACCUCAAAGCCUUUGAGCUCAGUCUGAGGGCACAUAAAAGGUCGCUUGAAGACCAAGCGGAGUUGAUGUGAUUGUUGGGUUGCCGCAUGGCUAAGAAUAAGAAAUUUCGCCGUCAAAAUGAAACGUAUCCUGUAAUAUAUAAUAUUCAUUUAUCAGUGAAGUAAAUAUACAGAAGGUUUACGGAGUUGCAUUAUAUGUAUAUUUAGCUAUUAUCAAAUGUCAACAGUAAUCAUUGGUAUUAAUUCUUGUAAAAUUAAGUUCUUAUCCACUUUCCCAAAAAAAAAAAAAUCUUAUUCAUUAUUCAAAGGCUUCCGAGUGCAUUUGGUGUUAGUUUUAUUCAUAUGUGAGAGUACAUCUUGCAUAUUAAACAAAUGAGUAAUGAUAUAGUAACAAACUCUUGUACAAACUUAUUUUGUACACUCUUGUACAAACUCAUUUUGUACACUCUUGUACAAACUCAUUUUGUACACUCUUGUACAAACUCAUUUUGUAUAAACUGAUGUGGUAUGAUAAGAUUGGUUGAAUUAAAUAUCACUUGGCCCACAUGAUUUAUUUUUAUUAUUUUAUAUUUUCAUUCAACCAAUGAAUUAAUAUCACGUUAGUUUGUACAAGAGUUUGUGGUUGUAUCAUCACUCUAAACAAAUUGUUAUUUAGUCCCGCCCUUAUUUGAUCAGAGUGGACCACGGUGGUUUUUUAACUCCGAAUAUUUAAGCACAAAUCAUUUUUAAAUAGUGAUUUACGAAUAUGAAUGGAAUUAAUUCUUCCAUACUGUUCAUGUUCUUAGGAUAAUUGUGGAAUUAGUUCAAAGAAAGCAAAAUUUCCUAAUUCACAAAUUUUGCAUUUUAUUAAAGGUUGGGAUAGUAUUUACAACAUUGUAAACUGACUUUCAUAUAACAACGUUAUAAAACGGUAAAAACGAUAGUUUACAAUGUUAUAAAACAAUGAAAAAAAAAAAUAGUUUACAAUGUUGUAAACACAUCCUGCACUUUAAUAGCCCGAGAUUUUUAGACCGGAAGCAGACACUUCAAAAAGUAAUGAUGUUUAUUUAUUUUUUUCUGAAAAAGGAUACCGACAACUCUUGAUUUAAAAAAUGAUCACAUAAAUUAAUCUUUUAGGAUAAUAUCACCUUUGAUUGCAAUAACCCAACUGUAUUUCAUCUGAUCAUAUAUAAUUAUAAAAAAUAUAUAUAUAAAGGUUGUUUUCCCUUUGACUGCUAAUCACACGAGCCUCGUUGAUCUUUUGCUGGAAUGAUGACCAGAGGAUGGUAUUUUUGCCUUAUUUGUGCUUCUGGGUGAAGCAAAAUAUUGGUAGCAGGCUUUCGCUUAUACGUCUGAUGUGCAGCAGCCAUACACACUGUUGUGAUUGUAGAAAAGAGGGUAUCGCUAAUCCCUGUGGCAUUCGAUGACUAUUAUUAUCAAAACAAGUAUAAAAUUUGACGAAAAUAUCGCAACAAUUAUUACCUUAAAUAAAAUUUAACGAAAAUAUAUAUCAUUGGUAUUCCAAAUAUAGAAAUCCGAACAUAAUAAAAAUAUUUCAAUCCAGAAUCACAGACUUGUUUAAGUCUGAAAAAGUUAUGAUUUGAUAGCAUAAUAGUCGGAAAAGCUAUUAAAGUAUAAUAUUUUAAUAGUAUAAUGACAUUAUAUUAUAAAAUUAUACGUCUUAAUAACUUUUUAAAAUUAUAAUAAAGUUUAAAAUCUUAGAUUAAAUUAGUGCACGAACACAAAUAUAAUAUAAUUAAAUAUAUAUGUUUACGGAAUUUCUCCACUACAUUUCUUUUGUUGUUGUUCCUUAUCACUAGAGCUAUAACUUGACAUAGCCGCAAUGUUUAAAAUUAGUACACGCACCACGUGAUGAUUGUUACUAGCAGGUGAAACAUUUAAAGAAGAGUUAUUAGCUUGAACCUGUUGCAAAUGUCAGAGCAAAAAGGCUUUAAUGUUUCAUGGUGGAGCCGAUGACAGGCAUAAAUAACAAUGUGGGAUAUUGAUACACGAGCAACACGACAAUGGUAAUAGCAAAGCAAAUCCAUUAAGUGUGCAAAAUGAUGUGACCGCUGACCAGUAUUUGACCAAUAUUAAUAUCAGAGCGUUGGCUGUCGAGACCAAAGAGAGUGCAGAAACAGGCCCCAGCCCCCAAAAUCAGGAAGAAACUUUUCGAUGAAGUUGAGACCUCAGCGCCGGCCAAAUAUGCAUAACAAUAAAUGAUUAUGGCUAUCAGAAAAGGGACUCGCCUAUCGUGCAACAGAAGCACCAUACCACCGUUUUUAUCUUUUUUUUAUAAAAUUUUAUGAAGUCCUUUUCAUUUAUUCUUAUUUGAAUUUUUCUUAACAAAUAUUAAGUUCAUUUCUCCCAAAUCUAUGAAUCCUUCAACGGCCGAUCAAUAGCAAAUCGGCUCCUCUGGUGGCUGUGGUUGGUCAGAAAAGAUAGAGAGAACUGUGGAUAACAAAAUUCAAGUGGUGACGUCACCGGAAAUCAGAGAAACCACAGUGAAUUGAAGUGGAGAUUCUGUGACUUUUCACGGCUUCGAUCGACGGCUUUCUGAAUGUUUUACGACGACAAGGAUGGCAUGGAGAUGAUCGGCGUCGCACGAGCUUCCGAUCGGUACCAACCUUGGCCAGUGGAGUAGCCAGAAACAAACAAAAUUCGGGUUGGGUUGACCUAGUUAUUUUUGCGACAAGGAUGGCGUGGAGAUGACUGAGGUCGUACGAUUUUCUGAUCGGUACCAACCUUGGGCGGUGGCGUGGAUGGAAAUGGAAACGAAAUUCGGGUUGGGUUCACCGAUAUUUUGAUAAAGAGAGGGGGGUAUUGUGAUAAAUGUGCAAUAUAGAAUAAAAAUGUGUAAAUAGUAAAUAGUAUAAGGUGCUAAUUAUAAUGUUUAUAUGGAUGCAAUAGAAAUUAAUUUAAUAUUUAUGAGGUAAAGUUUAAAUAAAAAUGAAUUAAAGGGGUUCAAUGAAAUUUUACAACACUACUAGCACAAAAGACAAAACCAGUGAUACGAUACCACGGUGGUACCGCAGCUGGAUCCAAAAGAAAAGAUCAUAUAUUUACUAAGGUAAUUCUUAUCUUACAUGCAUGUAAGAUAGGGGGAUCCAUUUACUAAAUGUGUUUUAAGUAAGAGCUUAGUUUUAUCUUACGUAUUUGUAGUGUCGCAUUCAGAAUUAAAGCCUAAUAAGUAAUAGCAGCAAAUAUAAUUUCUUUAAAAAAAAUUAUUUUCCUAAAAUGUUUUACAAUAAUUUUGGAUAUAACAUACUCAUUUAAAAUGAUUUUAAUGAUGAUAAUUUAAUUUUCAGUAUAUAAUCUUAUAAAUUACUUAAAGUCGGUAGAGUAAAUUAAAAAUUUUAUUAGGACAAAAAAAUUUAUUGAAUUUUGGAAAAUAUUUUUUGAAAAAGAUUCAGACUUACGGGGACAACUGCCGCAGCUUGUCUUUACGUGACUCCACCAGUAUCGAUAUUUGCACCCACAAUGCCGAUAGGAGCUGCAAUGAGAUAUCCAAAAAUACUAAGGUAUGUGAAUAAAGAAAUCAUCUUAGACCCACUAGUCCUUUGAACUAAAACCACCAACCCACCUCAUUUUGACAACUCUUAACCGCAUAUCAAACAACAUGCGAAGAAGAAGGAUUUAGAAUAAAUAAAUAAAUACAAAGUUUUGCUCUUUUUUGCUACAAGAGGAGAAAAUUUGAAUUAGCUAUUUGGAAGAGAUAGGGAUGAUCGAACAAAAUUUUUCCCUUGGGUAUUAAUCAAUGGUCAUAACCCGGAUUUGAAAUGGAGAGUUUUUUUUUUUUUUGAUGACAUGAGACUAUUGUUUAAAUUACAACUCAUAUUACAUGAUAGUAUAACUGAUAUGUACAAGCAUAUAUAUAUACUGAGACCUGUUGAGAUCAAUGCUGAUAUGACAUCGCUCAUAUUUGUAACCCUCUCAAAUAGUCGAGGGACGUCAACUCCCAGCCUGGGAGAAAGACUGCCUUCACUCAAGCUCUGGGGCUCCAAAGAAGGACAUUUAAAUUAAACCACAGCAAUGCGUCUGCGGAGGCUCGAAUCACUUCCCUCACAUUUGUGAGUGAGUGGCUCUAGCCACUUGGGCUAAGCCCAAGUGGUUAAAUGGAGAGUUAAUUUCGCUGUUACCCAGAUUUGAAAGACAGUAUUAAGUGCAAUUUAUGUUCCAGCAGUUUAUGAUCGAAAAUGUAAGUGAAGUGAAGUCGUUAUUAUUAGGAUUUCUCUUGAUCUAAGUUCUCCUGAAUUUUUAAGAUGUGUAAGGUAAUAAUAUUGUAUGGAUGGAAUUUAAGUUCUUUAUUUUUUUUUAUUUUAAUCACCAAUCAACUUGUGAAUUUGAGAAAUUUAGAUCAGAAGAGGAUCUUAUCUCUUUGUAUUUUAGUGUCAUAAUUUUAAAAACUAAAAAUGAACUACAAUUAUAAAAUAAAAAUUGACAUUUUAAUAAUUUUGACAGAAAAGUAAAAAUACUGCAGAAUUUUUAUUAUAUAUGUAAUAAAUUAAAUCAACUUAAUUUUUAAACCACAAUUAUUAUUAUCUACCAAAUAUUUAGGGCCAUAGCUAACCUUAAUACUAAAUGGGGGCAUUCGGCUCCCACGAUCAAUCUGUUGAGGCUGCAUUGGUUGGAAUGUACGAUGAGGAUGGCAUGUUUUGUCUUAUUCGUGCUUCAUAAAUCAUAAUAAAGCCGAUUUUUCGUGGCAGACAUUUGAUUAAUAUCUCCUUGCGGUUUCAUAUGGAAAUUUGGGAUGUUACCAGCGUUGUGUUGUCUUAAUAUUUCCUGUAGUUUUGGCAACCCAGUACGCCACCUGUCAUCUUGUUUGCCCUCAAGGAUGAACAGAAGCCCGGUGCGCAAUGGGCAAAAGGAUUGACAGUGACUUGGUUUCAGGUACAAAUUGUCGGCAACAGCAAAUUAAAUAAAAUAAAGUAAUAAAUAGAUUAAUUCGAACAAAUUUAAAUUUUUAUUAAUAUAUUUUUCGUAUUUCAAGGAUUAAAUACCUCUCUAGUUUUUUUUUAAACACUUAUAUAUUACAAUAUUGAUAUUUACAAUCAAAAAUUUAUCAGAACUUAUCUGAGUAAUUCUAUUACAAUACAACCCAAAUAUCAAUAUUCACUAAAUUGAAGAGAGAUUUAUCUUCACUAUUAUUGAAAGGAAAUCAAUUCUACUUCAAUGUGGGGAGUCAGUUAACUCCCAUUAUAUAAGAAAACAAGUCCCAACGAUGACUCUAAGCUGAGACUUGAAUCCAUGCCCUCAAGGUUAUUUAUCAACUCUCUAGUUGAUAAAUAAUAUUCCAGAUUUUUAUUGUUAUAGUUGAUGCUAGUUAGUCCACAUAUAAAACUUAAAAAUUAAGAAUAGGAAUAAAAACUAGACACCAUUAAUUUAAACUAAAACAAAUAAUUUGUUCACUAACCAACCACAAGUUUACUAAGUCCAAGUACACGUUAAUCACGACCAAUAGGAUGAAUACAGUUUAAAACAAAUAAAAAUAUAGAAUUAGGGAUCGUAACACUCCUUCACCUUAAAAGUACUCUUUGCCGUCAAGGGUGGACUUUGUUAAGGAGUCUUCUCUCGUCAACAUACUUCUCCGAAUUUGACCACGACAACAUAAUAAUGGCUAGAGUCCCGUCACCGUCCAACCAUAAUGGCCACUUCAAGGCCAAAGGUUUUGCGUGUGUGCAUGCUUCUUGACUUUUUCAUUGGUGCAUUAAAUUUUGUUUUGUAUUCCGAAAUCAAGCAUGCAUGCAUGCUCCUUGGCUCUUUUCAUAUUCCACAAGGAUGCAUUAAUUUAUUUUUAUUUUUUUUGUUUGUUUGUGCGCCAGGGGUUACCAAUUACGAUCAUGAUUCUCUUCUGAUCUGAUUAUUUUCUAAGUAAAUAAUUUAAUCACUGAUUGAGUGUUAAUAAAUAAAAAAGUAAAAAAAAUUAAAUCUUACACAUACACUACUACUAAAAGACACAUGACAAAAGAUUAUUUAAAUCUCAAUAAUAUUCAGAUCAUGAGAGGAUCUUGUUCCUACUAAUUACUUCAUCGUUAGGAUUUGUUCCUUAUUAAUUGCUUAGUUCUGAUACCAAAUGUUACGGAAACAAAUUAUUUACAACAAUAAAUCAAAUAAAAUAAAAAGAACAAGUAACAAAUGGGUUAAUUUGAGAAAACCAAAAAUUUCAUAAAUAUAUUUUUAGCACUUCAAGAGAGCAACUACCUCUCAAUACAACUAAUCAGUUGCCAAAUAAUAUUCCAAAUUUUUAUUAUUGAGUUUGAUACUAGUUUCAAUAUUGGUUUGCUAAUAAAACUUAAAACUAAAGAAUAAGAGUAAAACUAGACACUACUAGCCUUUACUAACACAAAUAAUUAGCUAAUUAACGAACUACUAAUUUACUAAGUCCAAGUACACCUUAAUCACAACCGUUAGGAUAAAUACAAUUUAAAAUCAAUAAAAAUAUAAGAUUGGAGAUCGUAAGUCGUAACAGACUUCUAAAGAGAGUCGAGAGAAAAACUUACUUGGGACAAUCCAAAAAAUACUACUUGCAUUUAUAUGACUGGCCAAUUUGAAAACAUAUGAAUGCUUAGCUGUCAAAAUAUAAAUGGAUGAGCACACCACGUGAAACGUGGGCUUCUCCCACCUAAAUACUUCUCAAUCUGAGUAGGGGGAAAUGUCCGAAGAGUGACUCCAAAAUCUGCUUCUUAUGCUAAAAACACAUGUAUGAAUACUCUGAAUGAAUUAACAGAAUUUUAUACAUGCCAAAACCAACUAAUCAUAUGUAAAAUUUAUUAGCAUGCGAUUGUAUGGAUCAUAGUCUUGAGGCAGCUUACAAGGAUAACAAAAUAAUAGUGUGAGGAAAUAAGUUGCUGAUGUACUGGGUUUAAAUGCAAGAUAUGAAGAAUUCUUGGGGCUAUAUGUAGAUCGACUUCAGUAGGAGGGAUCUUGUUGCAAAUUUAUGCUGAUGUGGCAGAAUUCGUUGAGAGUUCGUUAUGCCCUUUCCAGAAAUAUCAGAAUAAAAGGCACUUGUGACUAGCCUCUUAUAUCAGAUCGAUAUCUUCUUCAUUUCAUGUUCAUUUUGCUUGCAAUUUGGUUCUUUGUGAUCCUUAUAAUUUCUUUUUGUUAAUCAAUCUGUAAUCCGAUUGUUGAGAUCAAUAAAAGAGCAGUUUUUUCCUUCAUCAAUUUGUGUACUUGAAACUGUGCUCUGAGUCUGAUUCUUGUGAUUGCUUUCUUGUGUUGAUUAAUCUGGUCUGUUUCUUUCAAGUCUGAUUCAUCAAAGUUCUUCACGAAAUAACUUGUGUAGCUAUUAAAGGUUAUAACAAAUAGAAUGGUGCAAUAAAAGUACAAUAGCUGAUUCACUAAGGCUACAUAUAACCAGAGAAUAUGGUCAAUAAACUGGAAUAACCAACUGUUCUUGAAUCAAGUCCCUCCCCAGGGUUCUCAAGAACAAAACCAAUGAAGUUUGUCAGGACAGCAAUCCAUCAGCUGCAGUGACCCAGUGGUUCAACGGUGGUUCAUUCCAUCAUUUACAUGUAUAACAGAUUAUCUUCCGGUCUUGGCGCGUUUCAUUCCAGCACUGUUGAAGGGCCACAUGCUAGGACUCAUACUCGGACUCAUGCAUGGACUUUCUUCUCUUAGAGUACCAUUCAGCGUAGCAAAUUCACGCAAUUGUUGCUUCUUGUAAUGAUCCAAGGAUUCAUCCUGCAUAAAGAGAUUAGUUUGAACAAGCGGGAAUUAGGAGAGAUGCUGAAGGAAAGAAUAUCGACAAAGUUCACAGAAAAUACAAGAGUUUUUUUUGUUCAUACCACAGGCUUCAAAAGGUUCUCUAGUAUCGCUACAGCAUGAUCCAAGCGGGAAUUUAUUAUAUCCUCUGGAAAUUCGGCCUCCCCUAACACGUGCAGUGGCUCAUUAAGAUGCUCAUAUCCAGGUUUAUCUUUAAGUUUUUCUUCCUAAAGAACCAAAAAGUAAAGAAUUAUCAAGAGAAACCAAGAUGGUAUAAUAAUGUAAGGCAACAUCGAACAUUAGGAAAUACGAAGAAAUGGUUUGCUAAUGCAAGACGCACUCUCCCAUUUGUAGAACACAAAGAACAUGAAAUGAGUCUUGAUUUCCACUUAAUAGAUAAACUAGUAAUAAUAUAAAUUCAUUUCCAGUACAUAUGCCAUCAAUGUAAAACAAAACUACUCAAAAUAUCUAGCUACUCCUACCACAACGAAAGAAAACCACCAUAAUCAUACCAGUUGUCUCCACGAAAAAGAAUUAUGAGGGGCCCAAAAAAAAAAAAAAAAGCUAUAGUUCAUCUGGAAAUCAUUAUUCCAAAGCAACAUAAUUUAUAUGUGUGUAAUUUCAUGCUCAGUACAUCUUUCUCCAGUUAAAUCAAUCAGCAAAAUGUCACAAUCCUCCAUUGAAUAUCAUAGAACUACAUCAUGCAUGAUCAUAAGCAAAUCUAGUCAUACCAUGACCAGUAUCGGUACUAAACUACAAAUUAAAGCAUCUGAUAGAUUGUUACAUAAAACCAGGAUAAUUACAGUGCUAAUCAAAUAACCCGAAUUGCAGAUUCCCUAAUCAAACAAACAUAACAAAAAAAUCUGAAUUACAUUUUUUUUUUUUUUAACCAGAGAUGCACAUUGGCAGCGGAUAAAAUUGAGCAUGUCCUACAAGUUAACAUGGUCCUCCUUUAGCAAGGUCUAGAUGGGAAGGACCAUAGUAAAAAUAAGAGGAAAUACUUUACUUCAUCUAUAAAUCCUACAAUUUAGUUGCAAGUAAAAUAACUCCAAUCUAAAACAUCAAAUGCAUAAGAUUCACAAGGCAAAAGCAGCUUUAGCUAUUAAAAUUUCACAUUCUCAUGCUUUAAGUGUUCAAAUCCACUUUAGCUUGAUUAGAUUGAAUCAGCAACUUAUUCCAAAAUGCACAGCUUCACCACAUUAUGAUAGAUCAGGCCUUUAAAGAAUCCUCGACUGAACCCCGUCCUCUAAUGAACACCCUACAUUCUGUCAUGGCUUCAAUUCUUUUUGAGGGAGUUCCCAUGCGUUCCCAAAAUCCGGCCAACAAAAUUAAACUGCUGUGUGUUUAAGUUAGAAACUAUUAUUAUAAGGAAUUUAAAUAUAUCAAUAUAACUACCUUUUAAAUUGGAAAGCAAAGUUUAAACUUACAUUUGGAUAUUUAUCUACGGUAACAUCAAGUCUAAUAACUCUCUUCACAACAGGUGUGGUUGGAAUUCCGGGAACACCUAGCCCGCCCAUUGAAGGAGGAGUUUGAAAAAGGGGCCAUUUUUUGAAUAUGCCCAUUUUCCUGAAUCAAGGCAUCUAAUGAUAUAAGGAUUCCUCUCUUCAGAAUGAUAUAAGGAAUCCUUUCUUUUAUGCUUGAAAACUUUAUCAUCAAAUCCAAAACAGCACAUGAUUCUCAAACUCGAUGAAACAAUCAAGAGCCCUCUAAAAAGUGAUGUGCAAGAUCCAAAACAGAAAGCUUAGUCAUUUAAAAAAUAGCAUUCAGCUAUGAGCAAUAAUAACUUAAAUCUUAAACAUGGAUGUAAUUUAUCUUCAGCUGACAGCUAGACAUACGAGGCAAGUUCAAAGAACAUUUCUCUUUUAUACCCAAAAAAAAAAUAGCUGAACUAGAAGAUACUCUCAGUUGAUUAGAGAAUGAGUAUAUCGAUCUAUGUGUGACAAUUUACUUUAGGUAUACCAUAGAUUCUAACCUUUGUUACACUAAAAGAUGGUCAUCCCCUCAUUUAAAAGGAACAUAGCGAUUAGAAGAAAAGCAUACAGUCAGAAUUCCAAGAAAUUGCAAUAUAGAAUUUUCUGGCAUCAAUCUCACAAUUACAGGAUAAAAAUACAUGGCAAGUAUAAAACCGUGAACAGGCAUUAUUAGCUCAGUUUGCGUUGUAGAUGAACCCUCCAAAUCCAUUGGUCUUCCAUUCGGCUGACCUGAUGACCUAAAUGGACUAUCAUGCUCAAACCCUUCAUGAUCAACAAAACUUGGAUUGCAACCUGUCGUUUGUCUGAUUAGGUAUACCAUGUAAUAUAUACAACUGAAUCCAGGUAAUAACUAACUGUGCUACAAAUGUCAAUGACAAAUAAAGUUCCUAGUUUUUUCAAAAAACUGCCUAGGCAGUGCCCACCCCGCCACACAAGUAGUCCAGGUAAUUUGCUCACGCUGUUGCCAGCCAAAGAACCAUGAAGAGGAAAAGCUGCAAGGAGCCUUUGCCAGGUUGGUCAGGAAGGGCUUCAAUAGAGUGUAACAUCUCAGUAGCUCAAUUCAUGUACCCCUAGCUGUGCAUGUAAGAAGAAAUGCUCUUCUGAAUAAAGUAUUGAUACCAGAUCUACUGUUGUUUCUUCACAACUUGUUAGGAAAGAUUACUAGCAGCUAAGUUAGACGCAUAUACAUACUACUAUAGGAAAUUGAACAGCUUCUUACAUAAUCGGUGCAACUUCUUAUACAAGUAACUUCUUAUACAAACAAGUUCCCCUCCCGGCAAUAGAUAGACAUCAAUAUUCAGACACCUGAGGGUGCUGAAUGUUAGAAACUUUACUUCCUCCCAACGUAAGCUCCCAGUUUAGACACAUUAGGAUUCCAAAAUGAUAGCUCAGAUAACCCCGUAACAAACAUGAGACUUCCAGGGGCCCAUUUUAUGACAGGAGGCUCUGUAUGAAAACUCAUCCAACUAACAACCCUGACAAGAAAAAUAAACAAAACCAAACAAUGUUUAUAUAAUAACAAUACCAACAUCAAAAGAAUAUAGUCUUUGGAUACAGAACUCAUUAUGCAAACUGGUGCUUAAGGUGAAUGCCCAAAUGUAGAUUCAAAAGCAUUGUUGGUUUGCCUAGAAGACAAUGAAUGCUAUGACUCGGUCAAUGUAGGGGAAAUAACAUCCCUUUGAAUUCUAAGCAUUCAAAAGGCAUUAGAAUCAAGGAAUUUUGCUUAUCAUACCCCUUUCCCGCUCCGUACGCUCCAAGCAUAUCCACUACCAUCAUUAGAACCUUCCAAAACCAAGAAAGUAAAAUUAGCAUAAAGAGUGCAACAAACCAAUAGUAUCACAUAAAACUAAUAAGACGUGCUUGGCCACACUAGGCUGCUUCCACAUGUGUGGGUGCACUUGCUAUUUGAGCAUUUCAUUGAUUUAUUUUGAUUAACAAGCACAACCAGAUGAAAAUACGUACGCAUUUGGAUUUGCAUGGAUGGGAGUGGGUUUUAAACCAAGUCAAUGAAGAAGAGAAAUUGAAUUUAUUGCAAAGAAUUCUGUGGGAACAAGCUUGAUGCUGAAUGCUUUUCUUCUAAUUGCUAUGUUUCUGUUAACAAGGUGGUAACAAAUUUGAGAAUUAUAUACAGCACAAGUGCAAGAACUUUAAUAUAAAAUAUCAAAACAGCCGAAAGCAAAUAUUAACAAAAUAUCCACAAGUCACUGUGCCCUAAGAACUGAAAGGAGAAACUCUACUGGGCUGAAAGAUGCCUCCAAUGUGGAAUUGUGAGAAACUGGCUUGGCAUCAUAAGUGGAUAAAUAAAAAGGGUAAUUUUUAGAGACCUCCCCUGAGGUUUGGUGUAUUAACACUUAAAUAGAAUGUAUUCAUGUAAUUACAUAUAUUUUCCCUACAAUUAAUAUAAAAAUACGUAUAGCGUCAGAUAGAAGGGUAAAUGUGUAAAAAUAUAUUUAAAAUUAAAAAUAUUUGCUUUUACCAAAUCAUUAAAAUUUUGACCCACUUGCCCGCUGUCGGCCCAAACUUGACCAGUCGGUCAUGGCUCCACCGGCGGCUGGUGGUGGUGCGCCACUGCCGGAGUCCUCUCCUCACACCAACAACCAACCCCAUUCACGGCAGCCUUUGAAUCAACUGCGUCCACCAACACACAUUAACCCAAGUACACGACUUUUUGAAGUGUCUCUUUUGCUUUGCGUUUUCCCUUCACUGAGAAGAUUCAUCAGCUAAUAUAAUAAGCUUUGUUGCCUUAGAUUUGAGAUUACAGAGGCCUGAGCAGAUGUGGCUGUGAUGUGGGCUUUAUUGUAUUUGACUAAUAGGCAAAACACAUUUUAUUGGCCUACAAGGACGGUGCCUUUUUCUUCUUGUUGGGGAACUUCGUGAAGAAUCCAGCUUGCUUCUUUCUUCCUUUUCUUUCUUCAUUUUAAUUCAUUUUUUUAAUUUAUAAUAACUUUUUGAGAUUGAAUUAUUGGCUUCACAUGUAAAUCAAUGGUAUUUGGUAUGUCACAAGUGUAUAGUUAUUCUUUUUUUAUUUAUUUUUUCUGAUGUUUUUGUGUUGGAAUUAAUUUCUCAAGGUUUUGGCACCACUCCCCAUUGGAUUUGCUGUGUUCAUGGUACACUUGGCCACAAUCCCAAUCACUCGCACUGGAAUUAACCCAGCAACGAGUCUCGAGGCUGCUGUUAUUUACAACAAGGACAGGGCUUGGGGUGGCCAAUGGCUCUUCUGGGUGGUGGUGCUUUGCCACUGCCGGAGUCCUCUCCUAACACCGGCGACCAACCCCAUUCACGACAGCCUUUGAAUCAACUGCGUCCACCAACACAGUAACCCAAGUAGGCUUUUGUCUCAUCACAACCCCCACACCCCCACCGCCCCUUUGGCCAUCGCCGAAGCCACCCAACAACCGCUAACAUCACCAUUAAAGUGGGUUCAAUGGAAUUCUCACUGCCAAUGGAAUUCCCAAAGUUAUAUAUAAUAAUUUAUUAUUUCAGCAGGAAGGAUAUUUUAGUAAUUUUAAAUGUUUACUAACGGUCAACUUAAUUAGUAACUAACGGCAGGGGAGGUAUAUGUAAUUACAUAGAUACAUUCCAUCUAGGUGUUAAUACACCAAAUCUCAGGGGAGAUCUCUAAAAAUUACCCUAAAUAAAAACAAGAGUAAAUAGAAGCUCAUUAACAGAGAUUCCACUGUAUAGAGGGGUAUAUAUGUACAAUAUGUUACAUUUGGGAGAUGAAGAAAGAAAAAGUAAACUCACAAGUGUGCCUUGGAAUGAGUCAAGCACACGAAUAUGUCCUUCCAUAGUGGUCGGAAGCAUAAUUCUCCCAUCAUUGCUGAACUUUAUGACAUCAGAAUCUGAUACAUCUUCCCCAUCAGAGAAGAUGUCAAAAGGACCCUAACAGCAUCCAAGCUUAACCAAAUUAGUGCAUGAUAAAAGUACUACGACAUAUAAACUUCCAAGAUAUUCUUAAAUAUUAAUUUUAACCUUCUCAUACUUACGAGCAUCAAACAUUCUUAUGUAUCCUCCAAAGGCAACUGCAAAGACAAGCCCUUGAUCAUCGUAUGCUGUAGCAGGCCUUCCUUGAACAUUCAAAAGACCCGGAUUUGCCAACAGAGAUCAUAAACACAAUUGAAAAUGGGGGAAAAAAUACUUUGAAUGUGACCGUGGAUGGCAUGAUAUCCACCUAGCAUUUCUCAGCCCGUUGAUCCCAGAGCAGAACAGUUUGAUCAAGAGAACCAGAGAUAAAGAAAUCUUUGGAGGAGCACAGGCUAAACAACCCUAGAAGCAAUAAAACAUAUAUACAGAUGAUAAUAAUUACAAAAUAUUUACAAGAAUCAGUGAAUUACAAACCUGUCAUGGUGACCUUUGAAGUAACGCAAGUACUUGUUAUCGUGCAAGGAAAGAAACUGUAGAGAUUCUUAAUAAAUGAACGUAUCAAACAGCACUACAAGUGGUUUCGUAAUCCAAAAAGUUCUAUCCAUGAAAGCAGAUAUCAAGCACUUCCCCAGAAAAACAAUUCAAGGGUUCCUUUGAUUUCAAAAGACACUUUAUUAUUUCUGCAAUUUCAAACAAACAUUGCAAAAUUGAAACCAGCUUCUUAUACUUAUUUAAAAGCCAUUUCUUAGUUAAAAGCACUUCCAAAGAGACAACAUAAAAUCCUAAGAAACAGAGGAUCAACUUACGUGGCAGCAGAGACAUCGUACGGCCGUAUAGAUUCAUCAUCACUAGCCGUCACCAAAUAACUCGACGAUUUAUGAAAAUCCAUGGAACUAAUUCUCCCAUUCUGUUGAAACACAAAUCAAUACAAAACGACACUGAAUUAACAAACAGAUACAUUUAAAACGCAAAUCGAGUAUGUUCCUCGAAUAGAAACUUAUUAGAAGAUUCUCUUACAUAAUCUCUAAAAGAAAUGCCCACUUCCAUGCUCUGAAGAAUUUCUUCAAAGAGUUCCAACGAGACCUUGUCUUCUCUCUCCGAUUGUGACCCUAAAACCCAGAAAUAAAAACACAAAGCAAAUAAGUAUAUCACAGCAAUUAUGCCAAAAACGACAACGUUUCAAGUAAAAUUUCCACAUACCAACAUUUUUUUUCCUUCAGAUUAAUUCAAUUCCACUGCACUGAAAACAAAUUUUUCACGGAAACGGGAGGAGGUUGAGAAUUUAUUUAUACUUCUGUGUCAAAUAAGGACGGUAGUUUUCUAUUCGUCCCAAAUGGGUGCCUAAACCCAUACAAUGACUACGAUACCCUUAAGCGUCAGCUCUUGUACACUUAAAUGUCAAGGGUAUUUUGAUCAUUUAAUAAUUAGUGACCUAUUUUCCGAUGCAUAUGUAAAGUCAAACUUCACGAAGAAAACGCUAAUAAAAAUGAUUAAGAAAAAACGCUCAAAUUGGAUCAAAGCUUUGAAUGACAACGUAAGUCUCGAUUUUUUUUUUUUUUUGCUUUCUAUUAUGCGUUAUUUUAUUCAUCAUCUAGUAGUAAUUUAAUCUGCAAAAUUCCAAUUUUUGACGCGCGCGCACCAACAAAAAAAUUUUGAAAGAAUUUUAUUUGAAUUUUAUAUGUGUUCCUAUUUGUUUUAUGAAUCGAAUCUGAUAAGAAAUUGUGGGGAUGCAAAUAUCACACGAUGCCUCCGUUCAGUCAAGUUUAUUCUUGAUUUGUUGAAAUUGUGUAAAUAGAUUUAUAAUAGUUUUUAUGAUGUGUCAGGGUUCGCGCUCUUUGGAUAAUCAUGGAAGUAUGGUGAUUUCUAUUUAUUGUUGUGGGGAAAGGACACCGACUUCUUUGCGUGGUUUUAGAAAUGAUCGCAUAGACUUGUAUUAGGAUAAUUAUACCCUUUGACUGUAGUGAUUUCAUCUUGGCAUAUUUAUCAAAAUGGGUAUUUUCCCUUUCAGCUACUCAUCACACGAGCUUUAACCUUCCACCAGUGAUCAAGUUGAACAUGCAAGAUUCCAACAAGUCCCUUUGAGAUCCCGUCCAGUUGUUGCAGCCCAGAUCCCACCAUCAAAUCAGGUCAAAUUACAAGAUAUACCUAACUUAUGGAUUAACUUUCGUGUCUUUUAGUUUGAGAUCUAGUGAGUACAAUGCUCGUAAUGCCCAAUACCAUAUGGUUCAAGAGGAUAUGAGAGCAUAAAGGUUCAAAUUUAUGAGUUUAACUGGUUGAAAAUGGUGUAAUAUGCCUCUGUGGUUUGUACAUAAUGGAUUAGAUAAUCCUCUUUUUUUGGCCCUCCAAAGAAUUAUUCGUAGGAGACUGAAAAUUGAAUCUCUGAUGCAGUUUAUCCUUGAACUGGUAAGACAAUGUAGCUGAAGUAAUUUUUCAUAUUUCAUAUAGUAUUUGCUAUCACUUAAGUGGAAGACUGACUUUUGUAUAUUUACUUUUUCUGGUGGCUUCAAACAGUCUCAACCAUUUGGAAUGUGACAAACUUUGAACUACUAUAUUAAUAAGAAGAUUAUUAAUCCUGCAUGCCCUAUACUCGCUGCUGUGAUUGAAGAAAGGCGGAUAUUACUAUUGCUGACUGACUGACUCUUACCAAUGGCCUUGACAAACCUUUUGUUCGCAUCAAACUGAGGCAUAAGAGGUGUAAAGGUGUAGGAGUGAAAGCUACAACAUAUGCAAAAACAAUAUGGAUGGACCUUGCCAAUGCCGAGUUGAUCUCUGGAAAUAAGAUUCACAUAAAUAGAUUGGGAAUGCAAUUGUGGAGCAAAUUAGUAGGAACCAGGAUGGAAAUUUCACAGGGGUUGUGCAUCUUGAAGGAUACAAGACGACCGUGUUGAAGCUGACCUGGCUGCUUGAAAUAAUCGAGUUAGUGGGGUUCGACUACCUAAUCACAAAGAAAAAGGUAUGUUGAUUUUCAGAUUUUUUUUCUUCCACUUAUCUCUUUGCUGUCAUACAGAGUGCCAUUCUGAAUAGUAAACUUUUCAUGUAAUGUGAAUUUGAUCCAUAAAGCACCUGAAUCUAGAUAAGUUUGCUGCAUGCUGAGCAUUGGGUCUUGUGUCUCAUGUGGGUUUUUUUCUUGAGUUCUUUAUGCCCAAAGAUGCUAGAAGGCUGGUUCUUACCACCGACCAACCAUCUAUUUAUACUUAGUCAUAGCAAUUGCAAACAUACCCCCUUGGUUGGUUCACGCAGUAAAAUCUCUUGAGGCAGUACCUAAUUGCCAUUUCCAAGUGUUUAACCCUAAAUUUUUAAUAACGUUUUGGUGGAUUCAUGUACAUUGAACUAGUCUUCUUUCUAUAUUACAUGGAUUAAAUUUUGAAACUAGGCCAACCUGUUGUUAAAUCUGCCUUUCAAAUUAUUGACUUAAUAUUGCCAAAAAAGAACUUUUUACCGAUUACAGAAUUUUUCAUUUUUGCAGGAAACUGGAGUCGCAGCUGACAGUGCUCAAGGGCAAUCCUUAAAUUAAAUUUCAUUGCAAUCUUUAAACUUUAAAUUAUUUGAGAAAAAAAAAAUCUUGGCAUAAUAUUGAACAGUGCAUUUACUUGUAUAAUAUCAAUAAAACAAUGCAUGUGAGGGAAUAAAAAGAAUAAGAUGAAAUUUGACGACAGUAAUUGGCACUAUUUCAAGCAAAGAAAUCUGGACACUAAUAUGUUUUCUCUGUUACUUUCCAAAAUUACUGCAUGUACAUGAGAUGAUUGUUUGCUACUGUUGUACUGUAUAAGGUGAAACAUUUGAAGAAGCCCCCUUCUAAACUGGUAGUGUUGGUCGUUGUUGUCCUGCCGAGGAAGUGUCAUUAGAUUGAAACCUACUGCAAAUAUUGAUACAAAAUGGCUUCAAGGUUUCGUUAUAGAGCUGACUGCAAAAUGGCUUCAAGGUUUCGUUGUAGAGCUGACGACAAGCUUCUGUAAACAGCGCCCCAUAUUGAUGCACAACAAUGGUAAUGGACGAGCAAAGCCACGCAGUGUACAAUAUGAUAUGACCAAUAUCAGAGCGAGGAACAAAUGUGGAGAUCAAGGAGACUGCAGAAACAGAUCCAGAGACAACUGCUACAAGGGCCCAAGAUUGGGAAGAAUUCUCUUGAUGAGCUAAAUAUGCAUAACAAUAAAUGGCUGUGGUUAUGAGAAAAGACCAUAUAUUUGUUGUGUGUGUUUCAAGCAAGCGCUCAGUUGUGCCGUGCAUAUUUGCUCCCACGAUGCCGAUGAGAGCUGGAAUGAGAUAUCCAAACACGUUAUGGUAUGCGUUUGACAUCGCGGACAAAUAAAUUUUGUUCCUGCAGAACCAUUAAAAUACUAUAUUAAGGAAAGUAUUAGAUCCAUUCCUUUAGAAAAACAAGAAUUUAAGAGAUCAUUAUGUAUUUAGUCCCAUUUAAUAUUAGUUUAAUUUUUUCAAGUUAUUGUGAAAAAAAAAAAUUAUCAAAUACUUUUAUCGAUCCAUUCCUUUAGAAAAAAAAUAUAUAUAUAUAUAUAUAUAUUUUCAGUGCACACACAACAUUUCUUUACUGUUUCAAACAAUCUGGUUCUAACUAUUAUAUUGUAUCAAACUCUUCUUGAGUUCGACUUUCUUUCAAACCCAAAUAUUAUAUUUGACUUUGGCUUUUCUCUUUAUUUUCAAGAUGCAAUGGGUUUCUAUCAGCUUUCCAAGCCUUAUAAAAUCUUGACAAAGACUUGAAGAAGAAAACAAAUUAUUUUCAGUGCAUAUUGAUUGGUAAGAAUUUAAAAAGGAAAUUUGGGAUUUUUUUUGUUUUCUUUUGAACAUUGUCUGUAUAUAUAUAGGGUAAAGUUUUAUUUUUAAAUACACGUUGUGGCUCAGUUCAGAGAGAGAAGGGAGACGGUGAAGAUUGAUGGGUUGACUUUCUUUUCCCGUCAGCCAUUUUGUAAUAGAUUGAUCAGAGCAAUCAUUACCUGCAAAACUCAACACAUCACCAAAUUAACAACCAACAUUUCAAUUUCAAACCCAACCUUAAAUUGAAACAAAUCUUCUUGAAAAAUAAAGGAAAAAGCAACUCCAAAUCAAAAUCGAAAUGAAACCUUAACAGAGAGACAGCCGCAAGUAUGAGGAGACAAGCACGAUCCUAAAAGAUCUGAAGUCCUGUUGGUAUAUGAGAGAUGAACUGACCUCAAUUUAUAUAGGAUGGAUUCCCUUUGCUCAUUGGCUGCUGCAGCCCUGGACCGUUGAGGGGGGACACGUGGAGGGAUCGUGGGGCGGGAUGGAAGUAACUGUGGUUGAGUUAAGGUUGGACUUUUCAUUAACAUACCUUUGAAAAAGGUAUGUUAAUCAACCUUUCAAAGGUACUUCCACCCCUCACAUAACUCCAGUCAACCACAGUUACUUCCAUCCCGCCCCACGAUCCCUCCACGUGAGCUGCUGCAGCCAAUGAGCAAAGGGAAUCCAUCCUAUAUAAAUUGAGAUCCCUGUUGAAACACAUAAAACGACGCUGAAUUAACACACAAAUACACUUAAAAGUCUGUUUCCCAAACAAAAACUUUUUAGAAGAUUCUCUUACGUAAUCUCCAAAACACAUGCCCACUUCCAUGCUCUGAAGAAUUUCUUCAGAGAGUUCCAACGAGACCUUGUCUUUUCUCUCUGAUUGUGAGCCCAAAAACCAGAAAAAAAAACUAAAUAAAUAAAUCACAACAAUUGCGAGAAAACGACAAUGUUUCAAGUAUAAUUUCCACAUACCAACCAUUUUUUUCCUUCAGAUUAAUUCAAUUCCACUGGAUUGAAAAUAAAUUUUCUGCGGGAACGGGAGGAAGUUGAUAAUUUAUUUAUACUUCUGUGUCAAACAGCAUGAUUUCCCAAAUAAGGACUAUAGUUUUCUACUCGUCCCAAAUGGGUGCCUAAACCCGAGCAAUGACUACGAUACCCUUAAGCGUCAGCUCCUGUACACUUAAAUGCAAGGGUAUUUUGAUCAUUUAAUAAUUAGUGACCUACUUUCUGAUGCAUAUAAAAGCACACUUCACGAAGAAAACAUCAAGAAUGAGGAAGAAAAACGCCGAUUGAGGAUGCUCAAAUUGGAUCAAAGCUUUGAAUGACAACGUAAGUCUCGAUUUUUUUUGUUUUCUAUUAUGUGUUAUUGUGGGGAAAGGACACCGGCUUCUUUGCGUGGUUUUAGAAAUGAUCACAUAGACUUGUAUUAGGCUAAUUAUACCCUUUGACUGCAGUGAUUUCAUCUUGGCAUAUUUAUGAAAAUGGGUAUUUUCCCUUUUAACUACUCAUCACACGAGCUUUAACCUUCCAUCAGUGAUCUGUUGAGGCCGAAUGAUGAGCGGAGGAUAGCGUGUUUGGCUUAUUCGUGCGUCAAGGUGAAGCAGAUUAUUGGUGGCAGGAUUAAGCUCGUCGGAUAUUGCAACCAAUUCCUUGGAAAAUGUUUGUGAAUGGCUUGAAGCAUUGAGAUAUCAUUCUAUUAUCUCCGUGUGUUUUCAUAAGCAAAAUUGGGAUGCUAAUAGUGUUGUCAUAGCAGGAAGUUGAACAUGCAAGAUUCCAGCAAGUCCCUUUGAGAUCCCGUCCAGUCGUUGCAACCCAGAUCCCGCCAUCAAAUCAG